GGAAGAAGAUGGUGCUCCAAGGCCUCCAAGCAAGCUCUUCUCCUCUCCUUCUCCUUCUUCUCCUUCCCUUUCUCUCUCUAGAAGUGUAGGAAGAGUGUGAGGGAGAGAAAAUGAGAGUGAGAGGGGAGGAGAGGCUGCUUAUAGCCUCUAAAGUAACAAAAUCCACAUAGGCCCCUCAAAAACUCAAAUUUACAUCAGCCCGGUCUGGGCAGUUUUCGCCCAGAGGGACCGGUCUCCCCGACCUGGGACCGGUCUCUCAGCCUGCCCCCGAAGAUCCAACGUUCGGGAACCGGUCUUUCCCUGCGCGGGACCGGUCUCUCCCCGCGCAGAUGUGCUCGGGGACCGGUCUCGACUGCCAGGGACCGAUUGCCUUGCCGGCCACGCAGCACUGUUCACUGGGGGGACCGGUCUCUCCUAUCAGGGACCGGUCCCCGAGAGUAAAAACUCUUAGGACUCUGCCAAAACUCUCGAGAUCGAACUUUUAGACCGGUAUACCAUCAACGGCCCUCCACCAAGUGUGGAAAAGUUCGAAAUACAAAUCGAACACUCGAACUUCGCAAUUUGCACAGGUUCAGUGUGUUACACCAUGUGAGGAUACCGUACGAACUAGGGCCAACAUUUACUCCGAACUUAUCUAUUCUGACAUUCAUGCAUAAUUACUUAGCUAUACUAAGUUCAUUGUUCUCAAGUCAUUCACGAGAGAAUCCAUCUAUCCCUAAGUUCAUGAACCUCUAGUGUCAAGUACACUACAUUAAUGCCACUCUCUAUGUUCUUUUAAAUAUUUAGAUGCCACUCUCUAUUUCACUAAAUAACCAUCGAGUUCAUCUCUCCACUUUAGCACUAUAGGAUCCAUGUUCCGACCGAAUCCUUACCUAUCCAUUUCACCAAGUAUUCCAUGUACACUAGGUUAACAUUCAGAAGCAUAAGGAAAAGGUACUACAAUGCAAUCCUACAAUGCAACAUGCAAGAGAUGAGAUUAUAUGUUAUUCUAAGACAUAAUAAAGAGUUCGGUUGCUUCGGGAUGACACCCCCCACCUUUCUCGAUGUAGAGGUUCUAGCAAUGCUUCUCACCGAACGUUACGACGAGGUCUCGGCAUCCUUGGUCCAAAACGGUGCUCAAUCGGCUAUAUUUUGCCGAUAGCUUUUCAUCCGCUCGACGAAUCGUAAAUCUGACUUCGCCCCCGCGUUUAGACACCUAACAAUUAGGUUUACAAGCUACUAAAUAAGAUCAAUCUCAUCACUUAUCAAAGACCCCCAUUUGGAGCCCUGGGUUUGCACCUAUAGCUGUAACACAUUGGACCUUUGCAAAUUGCGAGGUUCGAGUGUUUGGGUGUAUUUCGAGCUUUUCCACACUUGGUGGAGGGUUGUAGAAUGUUUUCCGACCUAAAAAGUUCGAAAAUCGAAAUUCUGGAUAAGUCCUGAGAGUUUUACUCUCGGGGACCGGUCCCUGGAAGGAGAGACCGGUCCCCUAGUGAGCAGUGUUGAGGCAACCUGAAGCAACCGGUCCCUGGCAGGCGAGACCGAUCCCCGAGCGCGUCUUGGCAGUGAGAGACCGGUCCCGCGCAGGGAGAGACCGGUUCCCGAACGCUGGUUUUUCGGGUUCGCAGCGAGAGACCGGUCCCUGCUGGGGAGAGACCGGUCCCUCUGGGCGAAAACUGCCCAGACCGGGCUGUUGCAAUAUUGGAUUUUUGAGGGGCCUCACUGGAUUUUGUUACAUUAGAUGGGUUUAUUAGCUAUUUCCCUCUCUUCCCUCCUCAUUUCUCACCCUUACCCAACACCUUCUUGAGAGAAGAAGAAGAAGGAGGAGAAGGAGGAGAAGAAGAAGAGGAGUUUGCUUGAGGGAGCUUGGAGCUCAACCCGUUUCUCUUCUUUCCACCCUUGCUUGGCUUGGAGCUUGCUUGUAGAGCUUGGUGGUGGACCAAUCUUCAACCCUAGAAGAUUUGGAGCUUGUUUGGAGGCAUCUUGGGUGGUUAGUACUUGGACUCUACCCUUUGAUCCAUGAUUUGGUAGGUUUUACCAUAUGAAACCCUAGUUUUGGGACUUAGGGUUUAUUUUGGGCUUUUUGAACCUAGGGCUUUUAAGGCUUGAUUGGUUGGUUUAGAACCUUCUUAGGGCUUGGAUUGGAAGGGUUCUAGCUCUAUUUUGGAGUUUAGGAGAAGAUUUCUACUCUUGAGGUAAGUUGCGGCCCUUUUGCUUCUAGGUUAAUGUUUGAUAGUGUAAGAUGGUCGUAAUGCCCUCGUAUCUCUUCGCUGAUCACUUCUAGGGCAUUUCGAGACUCGGGGACAACUUUGUUUGGCGAGACGAGGCUCUACGCGACGGUUCGGUGGGUUUGACCUAGCCUACAUAGGAGAAAUUCUCAUAUAUGGUUAUAUAUGCUCCGUAAAAUGGAAAAGCAUGCAUAUUCAUCCUAAUUGUAUUUAUUAUGAUUUUUAGAAUGCUUAAAAUGCAUAUGUUACAUAUGGUGAAAUUUUGGGCCUCUAUGUAAUAGAGAGUUGCUUGGGAGAUCUAUGGUUGCAUUUAGCAUUCUUUAUGAGACUUGGUUCCAUGCUUCUAUAGUGUAAAUGAGUUCGUGUUCAUGCAUUUAAACUUAAGUUAGCUUGUAACAUGAAAGAUGACAAAUUGCCAUUUAGAAGGUAUGUGAACUAGUGAGCUAAUGUCGUCAAGCGGCAUUGAGCUCGGGGCAUGUGAGAACCUAGUGGAUAGGGCCAUUGAGGGUUUUGGUAAACACGUUGAACAUCAAAUUGCCUAAGUGUCAUCAAGGGGCACUAGGCGUAGCAAAUGUUGAAACUUCACAUUGUGACUUAAACUAGAUCUUCGGGAUGCUAGUGACUAUACCAUGUUAGAGACAUGAGGAUUGGAUACUUGAGACUUGGACUAUGCUUGCUUGCCAUUUGUGCUCAUUCGCACAUGCUUGUGAGGGUCGCUCCCUACAAGCCGGCACUCCGGAGUUAGCCCACGCGACUUAUGUUCGCUCGUCCGGUAUUGAGAAGCCUACGGGGUCGAGUGGGACAGACACAUUCCAAGAGUAGGGAUGUUGGGCUACCACAGGCACUUAGGCGGCACAAGCUGGACUACCUUGGGUAGGUCCCUAAUUGGAAAUGGAAAUCGACACGGUUUGAGAAUGAACAAUCACUACUAGACAGGUUUAGUAGUUGGAUUACAUUUACAUGCAUAUAGCCUAGGGUUGAGACGUGUAGUAUACUUGACAGUUACCUAUUUCAUCACAGUAUACUUGGUUGCCAUGAUGGAGCUUAUACAUCAGGUAUGAAUAAAGGUUUGAAACAGUAAACUAUUGCCAUUGGUCACUUUUCCUUAUGAUAGAGUAGAUGUACAACACUUCGUCAUCGUGCUUAUGUGAGAUAUAGUAGUAUAGCAUUUUACUUAUGCUCUCUCUUUCAGCAGUUUAUUUACAUGCUCCUUUUUAUUGCUUAUUGCUAUUAGCGUUACUUACUCUUGUUUUUGGGGCCUAGUGGAGCAGGAGCUGAGGUCAGUAAUUGCCCACUGGGAACUAUAAAUUAUAGUUCUCACGCCCUCUUUUUCUCGAUAUUUUUCAGAGCCUUCCACACAGGGUGAGGCCAGGGAUCGCGGAAAGGGUAUCGCCUCGGGCUAGCGUGCUUACCGAGGGAUCAUUUGCUAGGUGGUCUAUCUCUCGAUAUUUACUUUUUGGCGAGAGGUUGAGGGUUGUACCGGUGUACUAGAGACCACCAUUUUUGUACUAGAGACUGAUAUUGUACUACUUAUGAUUUCUUUUAUUGUCUAGCUUUACUUAAUUAUCUUGGUGUAGAUGUUAGAACUUUACUCGCUCUGAUUUUAUUAGUUGCUAGUUAUUUCACUUCUUUUAUUUGUUCUAUCUCUUGCUUUACUUCCGCUUUUAUUGUAGAUGCCUUAUAUGUGUAGACAUAUGGCGGGUCUGGGCACGCUAACCGGGAGGGCCUCCGCCGGUCCCGGGGCGUGACAAUAGCAAACCACCAAUAAAUCCCUAGCUUCUAGCUUUAAUCCACCAUUAGUGGUGCUAGAGGUCCAUUUGACCUCAUCUCAAAAGCCAAAAACCCAAAAACCCUAGAUUUACAUGUUAGGGUUUAGUAGCUUACCUCUUGAGCUACACCAAAGAGAUGAAGAGGGAGAGAAGAAGGUGAUGGAGAUGAUCUCCUCCAAGCUCUCCUUCUUCUUCUUCUUCUCCUCCUUGCUUUCUUCUCUUCCUUCUUCUCUUUACUUUCUAGAAAGAGAGAGAAGGAGAGAAUAUGAGAGAGUGAUGGAAAUGAGAGACCGGUCUCUCCAUGCCUGGGACCGGUCCUUUGGGACCUUCCCAAGUUUACGCAUUCGGGAACCGGUCCCUCCAUCCCGGGGGACCGGUUGCCUCGCGCGCUGCCGCAAUCCUCAGUUCGGGGACCGGUCUCUCCCUGCCAGGGACUGGUCCCCGAGAGCAAAAUCUGUCAGGUGCAGAUUUUCAUGUUUCUUACUCUCGUGGACUCAACUACAAAGCACUUUUUGUGUUUUGGAUACCUUUAGCUUUUCCAAAGGAUACCCUCUCGACAAAUAGUCGAUUCUGGACGAAGUCCAACUCUCGGAUUUCGAGAAUUCACUUCCUUACAUCCUCCCCUCCUUAAAAAGAGUUUCGUCCUCGAAACUAACUCAAUUCUUGACUUUAACUUAAACUCAUACCUUAUUCCUCAAACAAGUAAGGAUGAUGCUUUCUCAUCAGAUCCUUGAGUUCCCAGGUGGCCUCGCUCUUCACCGAAUCUUCACGUAGGGAAUCUCGCGAUUUCUCUGUUUUCGCACCUCUUGAGCAAUAACCAUCAUCGGAAACUCCUCGUAGCUCAAGUCUUCUAGGAGUUCCGGCGGCUCGUAUAGCAUCGCGUGCUCAAGGUCAUGAAUGUACUUGCGAAGGUUGGAGACAUGGAACAUAUUGUGUACAUCCGCGAGCAUCGGCGGCAAGGCAAGUCGAUAGGCCACCGUGCCAACUCGCUCCAAUAUCUCGUACGGUCCAAUGUAUCGGGGACUUAGCUUUCCCCGCACUCCAAAUCGCUUCACACCUCGCAUCGGUGAAACCUUCAAGAAUACGCGGUCACUUACUGCAAAUUCUAUGUCUCGACGGCGCCUAUCUACAUAGCUUUUUUGUCUCGACUGCGCCGUGAGCAAUCUCUUGCGAGCAAGGCGGACUUUCUCCUCCGCUUCUCACAACACGUCUGGGCCGAACUCUGCACGCUCACCCACAUCUCUCCAGUGUAUAGAAGACCGACACUUCCACCCGUAGAGGGCCUCAAACGGUGCCAUCUCUAUACUAGUGUGAUAACUAUUGUUGUAGGCGAACUCGGCCAUCGGCAAACGAUCACACCAACUUCCUUUGUAGCCGAUGACACACGCUCGUAGCAUAUCCUCCAGAGUUUGAAUGGUCCUUUCGGUUUGCCCAUCUGUCUGAGGAUGAAAUACAGUACUAAAAUCGAGCCGCGUGGCAAGGGCUUCCUGCAGGCUCUUCCAAAAGUGUGAAGUGAACCGGGGGUCGCGAUCCGACACGAUUGAUUUCGGUACCCCGUGCAUUCUCACUAUCUCAUCAAGGUACACCUGCGCCAACUUGUCGCCUGCCCACGUGGUGUAGAUCGGCAAAAAGUGAGCCGACUUCGUAAAUCGGUCCACAAUUACCCAAAUUGCAUCGUGGCCGCCAGUUGAACGAGGCAAGCCGACCACGAAGUCCAUCGAUAUAUCUUUCCAUUUUCAAAUAGGGAUUGGUAGGCUUUGAAGCUUUUCCGUUGGAAAUCGACGCUCCGCCUUCACUUGGUGGCAUACUUAGCACUUGGCCACAAAGCGUCCAAUAUCACCCUUCAUUCCAGGCCACCAGUAGUGCAUUUUCAAUCCUUGAUACAUUUUGGUGCCGCCCGGGUGAUCGGCAUAUGGAGACCGAUGUGCUUCUUGUACGAUUAGCUCGCGAAGCUCUCCAUUUUUGGGCACACACCACCGGUUUCGAAACCGAAGUGCAUCACCGGCGUCUACCAUGAAAUCGCCGCCACGACCAUUCUCAAUGUCGCGCCACACCUUUCUGAGUUCUAGGUCCGCGGGUUGCAGAUUUUUGAUCCUCUCCAACAAGGUCGGUUGGACAAUGAGUGUCAUUAAUUGAGCUGGAAUCUCCGGAGUAACCACCUCAAGGUUCAUUCGCUCCAUGUUAAGCCAUAGGGGUGUUUGAUUUGUAACCCAUAUAGCGAGGUUCUCUGCGGACUUUCUGCUCAGUGCAUCCGCGACCACAUUCGCUUUCCCCGGGUGGUAAAGGAUGUCAACAUCAUAAUUCUUUAAUAGUUCCAACCACCAUCGCUGUCGCAUGUUGAGCUCUUUCUUUGUGAACAGAUACUUUAGGUUCUUGUGGUAAGUAUAGAUCUCACAAUGGGCACCGUACAGGUAGUGCUUCCACAACUUCAAGGCAAAGAUUACCGCCGCUAGCUCCAAGUCGUGAAUGGGGUAGUUCUUUUCAUAGCUCUUCAGUUGACGAGAUGCAUAAGCAAUUACUUUCCCGCCCUGCAUCAAAACACACCCCAAUCCUAGAUAGGAAGCGUCGCUAUAGACCACGAAGUCUUCACCUUGCACUGGUAGAGCGAGCACCGGAGUCGAAGUUAAUCUUUGCUUCAACUCUUUGAAACUCCGGUCGCACUCCUCGCUCCACACGAACUUGGUGCCUUUUUGAGUCAGAAGGGUAAGUGGAAUUACUAUCUUUGAAAAGCCUUCAACGAACCGCCUAUAGUAGCCCGCCAAGCCCAUGAAGCUUCGAACCUCCGUGACAUUCAUCGGGCGUGGCCAAUCCUUGAUUGCCUCAACUUUCCUUGGGUCUACGGAAACUCCACCUGCAGAAAUCAUAUGCCCUAGAACUGCGACUUCUCGGAGCAAGAAGUUACACUUCUUUAACUUAGCAUACAACUUCUGCUCCCGAAGGACUUGAAGCACUAAUCUUAAAUGCUCGGCAUGUUCCUCGUCACUGCGAGAAUAGACCAAUAUGUCGUCUAUGAAGACCACGACGAAUCGGUCCAAAUACUUCCUGAAGACAUAGUUCAUUAAAUCCAUGAACGCUGUCGGAGCAUUCGUGAGUCCAAAUGGCAUGACCGUGAAUUCAUAGUGCCCGUAUCGGAUGCGAAACGUACUUUUCUGCACAUCCUCCGGCUUGAUCUUCAAUUGGUGAUAGCCGGACUGCAAAUCUAUCUUCGAGUACAUACACGACCCCUGCAACUGAUCAAACAGGUCAUCGAUUCGGGGUAGUGGGUACUUGUUCUUGAUCGUGACUUUGUUCAACUCUCGAUAAUCCAUGCAGAGUCGGAACGAUCCAUCCUUCUUACAUACAAACAACACCGGGGCUCCCCACAGUGAUACACUCGGCCGAAUAAACUGCUUGUCGAGAAGAUCUUGCAACUGACUCCUCAACUCCUUCAGUUUCGCCGGCGCCAUUCGGUACGGAGCCUUCGAGAUCGGUGCGGUACCGGGAAUCAAGUCUAUAACGAACUCGAUCUCCCUGUCCGGUGGUAUCCUCGGUAACUCCGCGGGAAACACAUCCGGGAACUCCCGUACCACCGAUAACUCCUCCAAGGUUGGAGCCACUCGGUCCACUUCUACAAUAGUUGCCAAGAACACUACACAACCGCUGUUAACCAACUUUCUUGCUCUCGUCGCCGACACCGUCGCGGCGAAGAGAGCUCUGACAAGCUCGAUAAGUGUACUCCUUCUGUCCUGGCUCACGAAACGUAAUCACUCUGAUCUUGUAGUCGAUCGUUCCGUGAUAUUUCGAGAGCUAAUCUAUGCCCAAUAUGACAUCGAACUCUUUAAGGUUCUUGAGCUCUAGCAUCCUAAUGGGCAUUAUCCAGUCACCUACUUAUACUGGACACGAUGAGCAUUGUGUGUAGGUAUUAAAUGUCAACCCAGGGCCCUCAACUAGCCACUUGUCACUCGCCUCUAUGAGUAUGUCAUGCAUGCGUGUGAAUGAUCCACUGAUAAAUGAAUGCGUAGCACCAGUAUCAAACAUAGCCUUAGAGCGAAUUUUGUUAAUUAGAACCAUACCUGCCACAAGGCGAUGCUCCUCCGCCUCCGCAGGCUCCUCGGCUUGGACCUGAGCGGCGAAUACCCGUCCGCUCGGGGCUGGUCGUGCCAUCUCGGGCUGUCGUGGGGCCAUCGCGUGUCCUGUUGAUGCUGCCGCCCGUAGCGCUCCUCCAUAGUGAGCCGGAGCUGCCGGCGCUGACGCAAUAGACGGAGUAGGUGAAGCUCCUCCUCCUGGGCUAUCCCGUAUGAAGUGCUCCGGUUGUCUGCACUUGUAGCACUUGCCUUCGCGCUGCUCACAACGUGACACCAGGUGGUCUACACCACAUAUGAUGCACCGUCGCGCUCCAUGGCCCUUUUGCUGAGUCCGCGGAUACUUCGGGGGCUUCUUGGAACUUGCUUGUCCCCCCGAACCGCCACCUUGGCGCUUCUUGCCUUUAUCUUUGGACUCGGCCAACAUCUCGUGCUUCUCUCGAACAUGGGCGUCUCCGUGCUCCGCCCAAAGUGCUCGAUCGAAGACCUCCGCGAAGGUCGUGAGCUUGAGUAUCUGCACGGCCUUAUAGAUCCCCGGCCGAAGUCCUCUCAAGAACCAAUCGGCCUGGUCCCGGUCAUCUCGUAUCACAUCCGGGACACAGUCGAUGAUGUGGGAGAACUCCUGCUCAUACUACGCCACUGAGCUGUCCCCUUGCUCCAACUUGCGGAACUUCUCCUGGCGCUUCCACUUCAACGUAACGGGGAAGUAAUUAGCGAACAUCGUCAUCUUGAACUCCUCCCACAACAUCGGUGGAAGAUCAGAAGGCCGAUCUCGCUUCACGUGCUUCCACUACACCUUUGCCGCCUUCUCUAAGCAGUUGGUUGCAAGAUACACCUUAUCCCUCUCCAAGGUUCGUAAGUCCUCAAAGAGUGUAACACACUCGACCUAUGCAAAUUGCGAGGUUCGAGUGCUUGACUUGGAUUCCGAGCUUUUCCACACUUGGUGGAGGGUUGUAAAUGGUAUUCCGACCUAAAAGUUCGAAAUUCUGGAUUUUGGCUAAGUCCAGAGAGUUUUUACUCUCGGGGACCGGUCCCUGGUGGGAGAGACCGAUCCCCCCGGAACAGUUUUGCAGCAGACUUGAGGCAACCGGUCCCUGGCAGUGAGAGAUCGGUUUCUGAGAGCAGAUUUUUGUGGGAGGGUCCUAAGGGACCGGUCCCAGCUGGGAGAGACCGGUCCUUCUGGGCGAAAACUGCCCAGACCCGGGCAGUGCACUAUUUUGAUUCUUGAGGGGCCUAAGUGGAUUUUGUUGCAUGAGAGGGCUUUUAGGCCAUUUCCUCUCUCUCUUUCCCUUACUUCUCACUCUUUCACACUCUAGAAAGAGAAGAAGGAGAAGGAGAAGAAGAAGAAGAAGAGGAAAAAGGAGAGCAAGCUUGAAGGCUUUGGAGCACCUUCCUCUCCCUCAUUUCUCACCAUUGGAGGCUUGGAGCUUGGACUUGGAGCUUUGUGGAGGAUCAAUCUUCAACUCUUAAGGAUUUUGAGCUUAGUUUGGAGCAUCCUAGAGGUAAGUGACUAGCUUCCUUCCUCUAGACCCUAGUUUUGGAGUUUUACACUAGAUGAAACCUUUGAUUUGGAUUUUAGGGUUUAUUUUCGGGAUUUUCGAUUUGAGGGCUUUGGAACCUAAUUGAUCGACUUUGAACCUUUGUUAGGUUGUAUUGGAAGGACUCUACUUCCCAUUUGGAGAUCAAGAGAGUUUCCUUCGCAUUCGGUGAGUUUUUCUCCACCUUAGCUUGAGAUGGUUAAUGAUCAACCUUAGGGUUGUUCGUAAGGUUCGUUUAACUCUUGUUCCUACAUCUUUAGGGUGCUAGGAGACUAGUGAACACCUUUGUCGGAGCAAACGAAGGAGCGCAAGACUUGUGGUGGGUUUGACUUUAUGAAAACGGGGCAAAAUGGCCCCUAUGCUUCCUAUACUUAUCGUAAAGUCUUUUUGAAUGCAAAUCCAUGCUAGAUAGGAUUUAUGUGAAUUUUAGAAUACUUAAAAUGCAUGUGCUAUGUGUAAGAUAAAUUUCACUCUAUAUAGUAGAGCAUACUGGGUAAAUUUUCAUGCAUGUGAGAAGUGUUCGAGAUAGUAAUGGGAAUCAUGUCUCUUAUGAUAAGUUAACUCAUAAUUGUGUAAUUGUAAACACUACACUAUGAUUGGACUUAGUGAAUAAAGUGUCAUAAAGGGGUACUUGACUUAGUAACUAUGAAACUGCUAUAAUGAGACAUAGCGAUAGGCCAUUGAUAUCUAUUACUUCCAUGUUUUAGACAUGAUGACUUAGAGAUAGGCCAUUGAGAUAUGUGAUAUAUUCCAUGUUGUUAGACAUGAGGACUUGGUACUUGAGACGGAUCUUACGUUACUUGCCAUUGUGCUCAUUCGCACAUGCUUGUGAGGGUCGCUCCCUACAAGCUAACACUCCGGAGAUAGCCAUCGCUAUACAUAUUCGUCGUGCGGGAUUGGGCGCCGAAGUGGAUUGCCGUGGGCUAGGCUCAUCCCUAGGGUGGGGAUGUUGACUACCACGGGGCCAUUAGGCUCGGCACCGGCCAGACAGCCUACGUGUGGGUCUCAGGGCCAGACAGCCUUCGGGCGGGUCUCUUCAGAUUUGACUUUGAGCAUUCAUUAUAACAUGUGGACAUUGACUAGAAUAGUAAACUAGACAUUUUACUAUUACAUUGUGGACUUUAUAUUGGUUGCAUAUUCGCUCAUAUUCUUGGUAGAAUAGCUUUCUUACUUAUGCUAAAUUAUGCUAAGCAGAGAUAUCUUGUGGUAGCAAAUAUUCAUGUUUAUUCACCUGUUGUACAUAUGGCUCUUACUCCUAUUUGUUAACUGACCUCUUUUUGUAGCUUCUCGGCCUAGUGGCGCAUUUCACUAAAGUCAGUAAUUGCCCACUGGGAACUAUUAUUUAAUAGUUCUCACGCCCCUGUUUCUAUGUUUCUUUUUAAGAGCCUUCGGCACCGGCGGAGGCACGGGAUCGCGGCAAGGGUGUCGCCUAGCUUGAUAGAUAGCGGAGCUCGCUUUUGCUCUAGGUGGUUACUCUCUUUUUGUGUUUUUGAGAGAGAGAGAUUUUGUACCAUGUAUAGAGACCACCUAUGUACCUGAUUUAGCUCUUAUAUUUGAGACUCCUAUUGUAUUACUUUAUAUUUUUACAUAUACACUUCAUUCAGGAUCGACUAAUUGUCGAAUGGAAUGGCCUUGGGAGGGCCAAAGAUGCCUCAAGCACCAAAAGUGCAUUGAGGUUGGAGUCCACGAGAGCAAAUAAUGCAAAUUCUGCACUUGGCAGGAUUUUGCUCUCGGGGACCGGUCCCUGGUGGGAGGGACCGGUCCCCGUAGCUGUGGGUUGCGAGCGAGGCCAAUGCAACCGGUCCCUGGCCAGAGGGACCGGUUCCCGUAAGCUCCCAAGCCUGGAAGGCUCUCGGGGAUCGGUCCCUAGCGUGAGGGACCGGUUCCCGUACGCGUCACCCGGGGAGGGGCUCUCGGGGACCGGUCUCUGGUCGGGAGGACCGGUCCCUCUGGGCGAAAAAUGCCGAGUAAGAGGCAGUGCACAGGGACAAGAGUGAAGGGACUUAUUGAGAUAUUAUUACAAUAUGAGGAGCAUAGGACCCCUCCUCUCUCUCAUUCCCUCUCAUUUCCCCCUCACUCUCUCGCACUCUUUCUCCCUCUCUCUCUCUAGAAAGAAAAGAAGGAGGAGAAGGAGGAAGAAGAAGGAGAAGAAAAGAAGAAGGAAAAUGAAGGAGAAGAAGAAGGAGAUCAAGCUAAGAAGCCUUUUGGACCUCUCCCUCUUCCUCUCUUCUCUCUUUGGAGCUAACCUAGAGGUAAGCUUCCAACCCUAACUUGUGAAACUUAGGGUUUUUGAGUUUUGGCUUUUGGGAUGAGGCCAAAUGGACCUCUAGCACAAUGAAUGGUGAGAUUGAAGCUAGAAACUUAGGGUUUUGAGAUGGGUUUAGCUUGGUGCUAAUCCUAUGGCACCAAAAUGCGGUUUCUGGAAAUAAUGAGGAUUGAUCUCAUUUGACUCUCCUCUAACCUAAUUGAUAGGUGCCUAAAUGUGAGGCGAAGUCGGAUUUUUCAUUCGCCGAGCGGGUGAAAAGAUAUUGGCAAAACAAGACCGACCAAGCUUCAUUAGGACAAAGAAGGCUAAAGCCCCGUCGUAAAGUCCGUUGAAGGGCGUUUCUAGAACCUUCAUACCCUCAAGGGGUGGGGGGUGUCUACCCGAAGCAUCCGGGUUUCCUUUUAUGUCUAAGUUAUAUAUAUGCUUGAUCAUAUUGCAUUAUAGGAUUAGUAGAUAGUUGUAAAUUCUAAUUCCUUGCAUGCUUUUUAGUAGUGUAACUAUGAGUUGGACACAUAGACUAAUAAGGUAGCAUGAGGAUUGGGUCUUGUGACAUGGGAAUCCUAUAAUGGCAUAAAGAACCGAACUUGGACAUAUGAUAGCCUAGUAGAGUGGCAUUGAAAUAGUGUGGUAGAAGCACUAUGGCAUGAACAAGUAGCAUUGAGCUAGUGCAGUAGAAACACUAAACAUGAACGAGUGGCAAGUAGAAUAAUUGAGACAUUGACUACAAUGACUGAACGAGUGGCAUCGAGUCUAGUGUAGUAAACAAGUCAUGGUUCUUGGGAUAGUAGAGAUCCCGGCAUCUAGGAUGCAUUGUAUACUGUGCAGCAGAGGCACUAUGACCCUUGUAGAUAGGGUAUCCUCUUGUGAAGAUUGGAUCAUACUCACUUGUCUGUUUGGCUUGUCGGUGGUCGCUCCACCGAGGCACGAGUCUCCGGAGUACUUCACUAGGGGCAGACGCAGUUGUCCCGCAGACAGUCUCGGUGUGCGAGUGCAGCUUCUCCUCACCUCUGAGAUUGAGAGUGAGUCGAGGGCAUAACCUACGGGUUAGCCAAGUAGAUUGGGUAAUAAACAUGAAAUGCAUAGUAGACUUGCAUUAUUACCUUGAGUAGACAUAGUGUAUGAUGUAGAUUGCAUUGCUAUGUACGUUUCUAUACUCAUGACAUAAUACUAGUAUGAUAGUAGUUGUUGCAUGCAUCGUUAUUAUUGGUGGCAUGAUAGAGUAGUUGCAGUUCAUUUCUCUAUAUAUCUAUCUAUCUCUCUAUCUGUGCCAGUUUAGACCUAGUAGGAAAACCGGCGGAGUCAGUGGCCGAACCCAUUGAGAACUAUAUUUAUAUAGUUCUCACCCCAUGUGGUUUUGUCACGCCCGGGUACCAGCGGAAGCAUAUCCGGUCACGUGCACAGACCCGCCGUGUAUACCACCACUCAAGUAUACACAAGGCGUCUACAAACCAUAUAGUGAAAGCAUAUAAUUCUAACCAGGUAACCAGAGCACGACUUUUAAACUUAUACAAUCUAAACCUUAAUACAAGAAAGAAAAAUAAAGUACAAUUUACAAAAACACUUAAUAUACAUCUCUGGACUAAACUACAUAAACUGGUGGAGGUCGUCUAGUACACGUCCAAAAGGCUCUAGCUAGCCGCAGACCCCUCGCCAAGAACCCUAGCCUUUCCCGGGGUGGAAGGCUCUGUAAAAACAACAACAAAGAGGGCGUGANUCCAUUUCUAGUUACUUACUUACUCUAGUAACUUAUCAAAAAACCUUUCAAUAGUCUUGCAAAAGUCGUAGACCAGUUCCAAAAGCCGAUCCAACCCUCGAACUUACCAAGAGGCUCAAGAUUCAGUAUAUUACAGGUUUUGGGGUACAGGUACACACAGGUGCGCGCCGAGUGAGGAUCGCGGCAAGGGUAUAGCACCCUAAGUGAGUUAGCUAGUAACUUUCCUUAUGCAUUAGAGUACCCUCGUGUACUAAUAGAAGAUGUAUAUUUUGGACAGAUAUCGGAGAGCUACUUGUAUUUGAGGAGAACAUGUAUUUAUAUUUUGGAAGAUGAAAAUAUAAUGUAAUCAAAUGAUGUAAAAGUUGAAUGGUUGUAAUAGAUAGAUGUUUCUCUCUUCAUACACUUGUAUUUUACUUGUGGUUCUUGCUCUUAGUUGGAUAGCACUUGUGUACUUUUAGUCGAUCAUGUAUGUAUUGAAUUCAUUGUCCUGAGCAAAUUCUUGUACAUGUUCUGAUUGCUUAGCCUUGGGCAGACAGUCGAGGUGCUGUCCGUUCGGCGUCUGUUCGACGCCACCGAACCGGACCAAAUUGGUAGCAGUUUCGGGGCGUGACAUUUUAAUAUUAAAUAAGAAGAAAAAAAACACAGAAAAAUUAGAGUUUGUGUUUCUCCAUUCUUCCUUCAAUUUCUUCAAGAUUCAUCCGUAUCGCUUCCAUCCCUUAUUAUUCCUAAAUUUGUCAACAUCAACUGACUAAGACCAGUUAAGGUUAAUAGGAAUUCACCCAUAGCCUCGUUGACAAGUUACUCGCAAUUUGUAUAUGUGCCUAAAACUAUGUCUGUCAUCUCUAGCCAUAAAAUAAACUUUUCUCCGUGUAGGCAUGGGGAAAGGAUGGAAUAGAAUGACGAUCGAACCAGAAUGAAUGUAAAUAGAGUUGUAGACUGAUGUAGUAUUAGCUACACCGCUGUCUGCAACCACAAAUGACUCAUCUCGCACAAUUAAUUUUUUUUGCAGUUCUGUGUUGUAAUAUUCAUGACUUGGAGUAUGAUUUAAAUAUGUAAAGGUUUCAGAUAUUGCAGACACAUGGCUUCUAGUGGAUGCAAGUAUCUAUUGUAAAUAAUUCCCAUAAAAAGUUAAGACACUUUCGAUUAAGAGAGCUCUGAAAUACUUAUAAUGAAAUAGAGUGAAAUCAAAUGAAAGAUGAAUUUCAUACAUAUGUUGUUGCACAAUUACAAGGUUUAACCAAGGGCAUACCCCUAGUGUACAUCAAUAGAGCAUUAAUAUAAAAGAAAAAUAUUGAAUUUAACGAUAUGAUGGUCGAAUUGAGUUUGAUGUAUGUUUCAAGAUGCUGAGAUUGAUAAACUUACGCUCUAGAGGUAUAUAUUUUAGAGCUCAAUAUGUCCGCUCUAAAAUGUAGAAUUAACUAAUACUAAGUAUAUGUGUCAGGACUUAGUUGGAUUUGAGGUAAAUUAACUCUAUUCAUGUGUAUUAGAGUCUAAUUUGGUUUAAUUUAAAUUUAGUUUGAUUGAACUUUAAAGCUGCGUUUGGUUCGGUUAUAAGUAAGAACUGCUUAUUAUAGGGAUAGGUACAAGUUCAAAAUAUAAGCAGGAACUAGACCAAUUUUACUUUUGGAUGAAAAUUGGAUUGUUCCUAGGAAUAGGGUAAAUAGUAUUUGGAUAGUUAGAUUAGAACUAAGGGAAUACGAGUUAUAAUUUUAAAUUAAAAUUAUUAUCUAAUUAAUUAACAUCAAAAUAUUACUAAAAAAUAAUAAAUUAAUAAUAAUUACAAAUAAUAAUACAAUAAUUAAUAAUAAAUUAAAUAAUUAAUAUUCAUAAAUUAUUAAUAAUUAUAAAUAAUAAUUUAUUAAUAAUUAUAAAUUACAAAUUAUUUAAUUUGUCAUGCCCCGGAUUAUACAUUCUCCGGGCACGCCGACAAAUCCGCCGUAUACAAAGAAAUUUUUCCUGUAUANAAUAAUAAUAAUUAAUUAAUUAAUUAAUUAUAAUUAACUAAUAGUAAAUUAAAUAAUUAAUUAAUAAUUAAUUAAUUAAUUAAUUAUGAAGAAAUUAAUGAUAAAUUAGUUAAUUAUAAAUUCAUAAAUUAAUUAAUAAUUAAUUAAUUAUAAAUUAAAAAAUUAAGUAAUUAUUAAUAAGUAUAAAUAAUAAUAAUUUAAUUAAUAAUUAUAAUAAUAAAUUAAGAAUUAAAUAAUAGUUUAAAUAUAUUAAUUAAUUAAUUAAUACCAUAAUUAAAAUAAUUUUUAGACUUUAAUUAACCUUAUUCUCACAUGGGAACAAGCUUGUUCCAGAGAAAAGGUGGACCAGCAGUUCCAGCCUUACACCGACUUAUUCCAGAAACCCGAGAACUACUGUUCUCGAGUACCAAACGCUGCGUUUGGGAACAAAGGGGGGAACGAAGGCUUAUUCUCCCUCUUUGUUCCCGAACCAAACGCUACCUAAGGAUAUGUCUUAAGGCUCCAUUACAUAUGCUUCGAUUUCAUUCUAAGGUGAAACACGGCUAAAUCCUAAGUACAAAUGUUAGGACUAGUCAAACUUAAUUCAUAAUUAUACAUAUUACAUUCUAAAUUAAUUUGAUUGAACUCUCUCUCUCUCUCUAUAUAUAUACAUAUAGAUAUAUACUGGGGUCCAAUUUGAUUUGGUUUAAAUUUACCACAAGAUGAAAGAUGACUAAGUCUCAAGUAUAUGUGUAAGGACUUGAUUGGAUAUGAUUUUGUUGAGCCAAUUAGGCGCGGACAAGAUCGGUGCUGGUAUUCCCUUCAAAAGCAUCUAUUCGGUCGUGCAUUGGGAGCACCGGAAAAGUGUAAAGGAAAACAAAUCGCGCCAAUUGAAGGAAGUUACGGUAACCGCAAGCAGUUACAUGCGGUUCCGAUCGGCUAGAUAUGGUCCGGAAUAUGAUGAGAUAGUGGCCGAUCGUGUAAGAGCAAUAACUGACCGAAGGGGUUAUCUAUAAAUAGGGUAAUAAUACCCUAAAAAAAGGCCUUUUCCCCUGCGAACAAAAAACGACCCUUAUUUUCCUGCAUCUUUCUUUUCUGCAUUUACCGCUUUUCCUAGGAAUAGUUCCUGUAACUUAGCAUCCUGGAAUCUGUCUGCCCUUUGGGCAUCACUCCGCUGUAAACUAAACCCCUUUUUUCUGUACUUUUUUCGUUCUACUUCAAUAGAAGGCAAUGUUCGGCUCUUCAGGCCGACCAGUUCCUGUGCUGUAUUAGCCAUUUGGCUCAUUUCUUGGUCAAAAUUCUGGCUUCUCCUGUGCAUUCGGCUCAUCCAGCCGAACAGAAGAGAGAAUAAAGUUUACGGACCCGGUUGAUUGGAUCCCUCAUCGACCGAAUCGCUUGAUAGAUCAAAGGGCGCAGACUUCGAGGGUCAUCAUUCACAGCCGCUCAUCAACCCGACGCGUAUUCCGAGGACGGGAAAAUUCGGCUUCCAACAAUUUUUUGGCACGCCCGGUGAGACCCUAAUAUAAAGUAAAUUUACAUUCUAUAUAAAGUAUGGCUGACGAUAACUCCAUGAAUCUCCGUAAUAGGGCUAUUCCUAGAAAUUCUGGGAGUGAACAGCCCAGCAAUUCAAAGAAUGCUGUAGAGCACCAAGCAGUCUUACCUGCUGAAGGUGAGACCAGUGGUCAAUCUGGCCAACAAGAGCCUAGCCUGGCUCAAGCACUUGGACAAAUGACUCGGGUCCUGCAAGUUUUGGACCAAAAUAGUCAUGCAAGUACUGCACGGCUAGAUGCCGUAUUAGCCGCAAUCACGGCCUCUAAUGAGAACAUAGCCCGAAUAGGGCAAUUGUUGACUCGGAAUGAUCAACCAACAUUAGGUUUACAAACACCUAUGAUAGCACCAGUGUUACAAAAUCCUGCAACACCGGUGAAUGGUCAGCCCCAAUACCAGGGGGCACCAUAUCAAACGGCUUAUAGACCGACUGUAGUUAAUGCCGGUCAACAGCCAGAGAUAGCUUGGGGGCUGCCACCGCCUCCACCGGUAGCAGCGUAUCAGCCCCAAAAUGUAGGGGCUAGGGGGCAGGCUCCAAAUGCACAAGGGACUAAUCCCUUUGUGCAAAAUCUCGGUGCGCCACAACCAUCGAACCAAGCACCGGCGCAAGCCUCUUUACAGGGAAUUAAUAACGAGAUUUAUGCACAAAUAGAAGAAGCCUUCCGGAAUACUUUCGGAGUAGGCGCAAGGCCGGCAAUGCGGCCCGUAUUCAGGUCACCAUACCCUGCAAAUAUAGAUAUAGAACACCCAUAUCCGGCAAAUUGGAAGAUGCCGAAGUUUGACAAAUUUUUCGGCGACGAGACCAAAAAUACGGUCGAGCACGUCGCGCGGUUUACAGCUCAGUGCCAUGAGGCCGCGGUAGAUCCGUUUUUAAAGUUGAGGUUAUUUAAUACCUCAUUGACUAAGACAGCUUUCACUUGGUACACGAGUUUACCUGCUAACUCCGUCCGAGACUGGGACGAGUUAGAAGGUAAAUUUCAUGAGCAGUUUCAUAGAACGGAGCCAGAGCUAUCAGUUGCGGAUUUGGCUCAAUUCAAAUAAAGAACAGGAGAAUCGGUUGAUGAAUAUUUGAACCGAUUCAAAACUGCUCGAAGCCGUUGUUUCCUAAGAAUGCCGGAAUCGGAAUUUGCCAAAAUGGCAUUCAACGGCAUGCAUUUUAAAAUUAAAGAUCAUUUUGAGGAUAAAUUCUUUCCAAAUCAUUUUGAUUUGGGAGUUCGAGUUGCUCAAUACGAGCAAUUUCGAAAAGGUAACACUGAAGAUCGGCCCAGAUGGAGCCGAAACAAAGAUUAGAGCAAAGGAGAAAAAUAACUCGUUCCUUGAAGAGGCUUCGACUCAUGAACAGCCGAAUUCGUCUGAAGAGAAUGAGGAUUCGGCUGAUGAAGCCGAAAUCUGUGCUGCCGAGAUGGUGAGAAAUAAUCAACCGUACAAAUGUGCUUUGUUAAAACCCGCCAAAUCAAAAGAGGCGAAAGCACAUGUGUCUGUAUUUAGUUAUUCGUUUGAUAUAGCAAAGACCGAUCUGAUUUUUGAUCGGUUGCUAAAGGAUGGACGAAUUAAACUACAAGAGGGUCAAACUAUACCUCCAGUAGAAGAACUAAAACGCGGAAGAUAUUGUAAGUGGCACCAUUCAUGGAGCCAUAAAACUAGUGAGUGUACUACUUUCAAAAGGCAGAUACAAAAAAAGAUAAACGAAGGUCAGCUCAUCUUUGCCGAUCAAAAAAACAAAAAUAUAAAAAUUGAUAAGAAUCCUUUCCCAUCACAGGUCAACGCCGUGAACAUGAAAGGAAAAGAAAAAACGACUGCAAAAAGGCAGAUCCAAGAAGAAAUAGACGAGGGUCGGCUCAUAUUAGCCGACCAAGAAAAUGAAAAUAAGGUAAUUAACGGAAGUUCGUUUCCUUUUCAGGUCAAUAUGGUGAAUAUUAAAGGGAAAGAGACUGCGGACCAGGUGACCGCAGACAACGUGACACAUGCCAAAAAACAUCUUCGGCUUUGCAUAAGGUGCAAGGCCGUAAUGACGAAGAAAGAUUGGGAAGCCAUUGUCAAUGCCAAGAAAAGAGGCAACGAGUGGAAUGAGUUGAUAGCGUUCCCCGAGGAAUGGGAUGACAUUCCUGAUGGUGAAGAUCAAGAAGAAGAAGGCUCAGACGAGGCCUCCAAUGACACUGAACCGGAAGUCAAAUCGGUUCAACUCAAACAAGACAUGUUGAUGCAGAAGAUUCUGCAUGAUUAUUACAACAACAGGCGUGGUGAGUGUCAAAGCCGAUGGGACUACCAGGGUAGACCCUUCGGCACCAAGCUAAGAAUUCCUGGAUAUCGGCCACAUUGGCAGCAUCAAACGAUGCCGAGACCAGAACCGAAAUUCAAGGGAACGACCGAGGGAGACAUAGAAUUCCUCGGUUAGAGAUUAGUCAAUGAACUCGGCAUUCAGCCUUGGCCAAGACCUUGGGAGAGAAGAGAAAUUUUGAAAAACCAUUUGAAGACAGUGAAGGUACCGGUGAAUGUGCCAGUGGAUGAAUGGCACGAAGUUGAAGUAAAACCAUCGACCAGAUGACAAGGGCCGAUGUUAACAAAACUCAAAAGCGUCGGCAGCAGAGGAUGCAAGCCGAGGCAAGACAACAUUAUGAAGAAGCGAAAGGAAUGAAGCUCAACAUAUGGAGGCGUCCUAAUGAGCAUGUACACCCUUUUCGCCAAAAAAAAACCGACCACGAGGCAGGUGACUCAUCACCUGUCCCUUGGAUAAAGUCAAAAAUAGAACGGCCAAUUGAGGCCGAGUCCGAAGAAAAGAUGACCAGGAUGGAACUAGAAGAUAAAAUAGCCUCUCUUGAAAUGAUUAUUAAGAGAGAACGAUGGCCUCCAAAGGAAAGAGAGGUCCGCAUGGAGAGUGACUCUUCAACCGAAACGGCUAAGGAGUCAGAAGAGAAGAAACAGAGAAUUAAGGGAAAGUCGGCUGACGAGUCACCAGCCAAGGUGAAUAUGGUAUAUGCCCUACCUCAAUCUUUCAAGGCAGAGCUUGUCGAGUAUGAAGAGUUCAGAGACGAGGAAGAAUACGGGCUUAAAGUAGCUCAAUUGCAAUUGGAAGAUGUUCAACCGGCCGAUGCAGUGGUUUUCGAGAAACCAUCGGCUAUGCAGAUGAGAUUCAUAAGGCCUGUCUUUAUAAAGGCCUUAAUCGAGGGUCGGCCGGUAGGCCGAGUUAUGGUAGAUGGUGGUGCCAUGGUAAAUGUGAUGCCUACUUCUUUUUUCAAGAAGCUGGGCAAAGAUGAGGAUGAGUUGAAGCCCACUGACUCAAUCAUGACCGACUUCACCGAAAACGGUCAACAAGCUCGAGGAUUACUCACCACCGAACUCACGGUAGGCUCCAAAACUUUGAAAACUGCAUUUUUUGUGGUGGAUGCAGAUAUUCAAUACAAUUUAUUACUUGGACGAGAUUAGAUACAUUCGAAUGAGUAUGUACCCUCUACACUCCGCGGGAAACUGUUCCAGUGGAUAGGAGACAAGGUAGAAGAAAUCUGAGCCGAAGGACGGCCCCAAAUAAUAGAUGUCAACAUGGAGGACAUGGGCCACACCAAUUGGGCCGAUGCAGAUCCAGAUCAGAUUUCUUUUGUCAGGGUAAUAGAGGAGGGGAUUCAAUUAAUCCUUUCCAAAGAUGUCAAUGGUAUGGUGGUUGAUGAAGAGCCAUCAAGGUAGUUAAAAUAGAAUCCGAAAAAUUAAGAAUAGAGGCUUGUCAAGAGCCUCAACAGGAUAAGCCGAUCAACAAGAUCGGCUAUGAGGAUGAUUCGGCUGCCAUAGCCGAUGUGUUAACGCUCGACGACUCGGCUAAUAAAGCCGAAGAAGUUAUAAUAGAUUCGGUUUACAGGGCCGAAGAAGAAAGUCAAAUGAAGUCGGUCACCGAGACCGACAAGUCACACGAAAUGAAUAGGCAAGCAAACGAAUUGAAUCUAGAAGAAUCGCCUAUUAAAGUCGGUGAGAAAAAGUUGGAGACCCAAGAUUCGCUAAUCGAAGUAAAUUUGGGAUCCGACGAAGAUAAGAGACCGACAUAUAUAAGCGCAAAGCUUUCGGCUCGACAGCAGAAUGAGCUGAAAGAACUAUUGAAGGAGUACAAGGACUGCUUCGCCUGGAGUUAUGAAGAAAUGCCAGGUCUGAGCAGGAAAAUUGUAGAGCAUAGGCUGCCCAUUAAAAAAGGGUUUAAGUCUUUUAAACAAUCGGCUCGUAGGUUUGAGCCGAGUAUUGUACUCCAAAUUAAGAAUGAAAUAGUAAUUCUUUUGAAGGCCAGAUUUAUUAGAGCGACUCGUUAUGUCGAUUGGGUGUCUAAUAUAGUUCCAGUACGCAAAAAGAAUGGCAAACUUAGAGUUUGUAUCGAUUUUAGGAACUUGAACUUAGCCACACCUAAAAAAGAAUAUCCAAUGCCAAUAGCCGAUAUAUUAGUAGAUUCGGCUGCCAGUAAUGAAAUUCUGUCCUUUAUGGACGGACAUGCUGGUUAUAAUCAAAUUUAUAUUGCUGAGGGAGAUGUGGCUAAAACGACUUUUAGAUGCCCUGGUUCGAUUAGAACCUUUGAAUGGGUUGUUAUGCCGUUCGGCUUAAAGAAUGCCGGAGCUACUUACUAGAGAGCAAUGAAUUUUAUUUUUCAUGAUUUAAUCGGCAAGAUGUUGGAAGUAUAUAUUGAUGAUAUAGUCGUAAAAUCCAAGUCACAAGCCGAGCACUGGAUUGAUUUAAAACUCGCCUUUGGAAGAAUGAGAAAAUAUAAGUUGAAGAUGAACCCUUUGAAAUGUGCUUUUGGAGUUUCAGCGGAAAACUUCUUAGGAUUUUUAGUGCAUAAAAAAAGGAUCGAAAUUGAUAAAAAUAAGGCGAAAGCGAUAUUAGAAUUACCGCUACCAAAGUGCAAAAAGGAACUGCAAAGUUUGUUGGGAAAGAUUAACUAUCUUCAGCGGUUUAUAUCUAAUUUGGCCGGAAAGAUAGGGGUUUUUACUCCAUUACUUUGGCUAAAAGAUAAAGAAGAAUUCGUAUGGACAAAGGAGCAACAAGAGGCUUUUGACAAUAUAAAAAGGUAUUUGUCAAACCCUCCUGUAUUAGUACCUCCAAAAACAAGCCAGCCGAUGAAAUUAUACAUAUCGGCUACAGAAGAAAAUUUGGGAUGCUUACUAGCCCAAGAAAAUAAGGAAAAUGAAGAACAAGCCAUUUAUUAUUUGAGCCGACGUCUUUUAGAUACCGAAAAACGGUAUUCGGCUAUUGAAAAAUUAUGUUUCGCUUUAUACUAUUCAUGCACAAAAUUGAGAUAUUAUAUUUUACCAACCGAAGUAUCGGUAAUAUGUAAAACCGAUCUGGUAAAAUAUAUGUUAUCUAAACCAGUGUUACGGGGACGGAUCGGAAAAUGGAUAUUAGCAUUAUCCGAGUUUUCCUUUAAUUAUGUUCCUGCCAAAGCCGUCAAAGGCCAAGCUAUAGCCGAUUUUCUGGCUGAUCACCCAUGUGUAGAGAUUGAGGAGCCGAAACAGAAUUUCAUCAGCUGUCGACCUUAGGUGCUGUAUUUUGACGGUUCAAAAACAGCCGAAUCUGUAGGUGCAGGGAUAGUAAUACAAUCCCCUGAAGGUCAUGUUUGUCAAUUUGCAUUUGAACUAGAUUUCGGCUGUUCCAACAACCAGGCCGAAUACGAAGCAUUGAUCAUUGGUCUUGAAAUUUUACAAGAAUUGAAGGCAAAGUCAAUCAAAGUCAUCGGUGACUCACAGUUAGUAAUCAGGCAAGUCAAUGGAGAAUACCGAUGCGAAAACCCGAAUUUACAAAAUUAUUUAAGGAAGACAUUAGAAUUACUAUGUGAGUUCAGAGAAACUGAAUUCGAACAUUUGAGCAGACAGUAAACUGAAAAGGCAAAUGAACUAGCUCAGUCGGCUUCAGGAUAUAGAGAGCCGAAGUCAGAGUCAAUAGCAAUACAGAGGAGGUUGCUACCUUCGGUUCAUGUAUGAGAACCGAUUACAGCUCCCAUAAAAAUGAAGGAAGAUUGGAGAGAAUUAUUAAUCAAAUAUUUGGAGGAUCCUUAUACAAGGGUCGACUAUAAUAUUCGGAGAAGAGCUCUCGGCUAUUGUUUGUUGGAUGGUCAGCUUUACAAGAGAACAGCCGAAGAAGUUCUAUUAAAGUGUUUAGGACCUGAAGAAGCUUUGUUGAUAAUGGGAGAAACACACGAAGGAAUAUGUGGAACCCAUUUAGCCGGAAAAAAGUUAAGAUGGACAAUUCGGCAUUAAGGAUAUUAUUGGCCAAUAAUGCAUCAAGAUUGUAUAGAAUAUGCUAAACGUUAUCAGGAUUGUCAAUUUCAUGGCUUAAUCCAGAGAGUUCCGGCCUCUGAGAUGUAUGCAAUCAUCAAACCAUGGCCUUUUCGAGGUUGGCCCAUGGAUUUAAUUGGAGAAAUUCAGUCGAACUCUUCGGCUGGUCACAAAUUUUUAAUAGUGGCUGUCAAUUAUUUCACCAAAUGGGUGGAAGCGAAACCCACUCGGUUGGUUAAUCAAAAAGAAAUUAUUGAUUUUGUUGAAGAUCAUAUAAUUCAUCGCUUUGGGAUUCCCGAGACAAUUACGACCGAUCAAGGGACAAUGUUCACAGGAGGACAGUUCGUUCGGUUCAUCGAGUCUCGGAAGAUAAAGUUGCUCCAUUCAUCUCCUUAUUAUGCCCAAGCGAAUGGACAAGUAGAAGCAGCGAAUAAAAUAGUCAUCAACCUUAUGAAACGACAUAUCGGAAAGCAUCCGAGAAAAUGGAAUGAAAAACUUUCCGAAGUAUUAUGGGCAUGCCGAACUUCAGUAAAAACGGCAACAGGGAUGACACCAUUCCAAUUAGUUUACGGACAUGAGGCCGUAAUUCCAGCCGAGAUAACAGUUCCUUCUUUAAGAACAGAAAAGCAAAAAGAUUUGUCGGCUGAUGAAUGCAGUAAUUUAAUGAAAGACAAAGCAGAGGAAGUAUAUGAUACUCGGUUAAUAGCUUUAGAUAAUAUGCAAGCAUACCAAAGCCGAGUGCGUAGCGCAUACAAUAAGAGUUCGAUCAAAGACAUUUGUCAUCGGUGAUUUAGUACUUCGGCUGAUUUUUUCAAUUGAUCAAAAAGACCGAACGUAUGGAAAAUGGUCUCCAAAUUGGGAAGGGCCAUUUCAAGUCAACCGAAUCACAAAAGAAAAUGCAUAUUACUUGCAGAAUAGGGAUGGUUUAGAAAAUGAAAAACCUAUUAAUGGAAAGUAUUUGAGGAAAUAUUACCCAUCUAUGUGGAAGAAAAAUCAAGAUCAAAGUUAGAAUAUUACAAGCCAAAUCAAGAUAAUAAAUCUUUGAAUUUGUUCCAUUCGGCUAUAAGGUUGGCUUGAGCAGCUUCAGCAGCUUUUCUUCGGCGCUUCAUCAAGGGAUGUACCUUGUAAAGUUAAGAAAGCUCUUCUUGAAUUUUCAUCCCUUCUGCUCUUUUACAUUUUAAUUGGUUCUGCAAUUGAAGUCGGCGCUCAGAGGUUUGGGCUAAAGUUGAUUCAGCUGCUGCUAACUCUUCUUUAAGGGUUGAAAUCUGCUGUUGUAGAGUCGAUUCUUGACUUGCCAAAGCCUGAUCUUCCUGAUUCACUUCAGUAAUAGGGGCAACUACCUCAGGAAUAAUGUUCUUAUAGUGAUCAACUCGAUGAAAAUGUUGACCCGUAGUUAAAAGCUCGGCUCCUAAGCAUUGUUGCUAAGAUAAGAAAGAAGAAAGCUGAGAUGACAGAGUCUCUACAAAACAUUUGAUACUAGAGGCUAUAUGUGAGGAAGUGAAUUCUCGAAAUACGAGAGUUAGAUUUCAUGUAAAACCGACCAAGGGUCGUGUUGGUAAGCUUUGGAAAAGCCAAAGAUGUUAAAAUCACCGAAGGUGCAUUGGAAAUGAGUCCACGAGAGCAAAUAGUGCAAAACUUGCUCUAGAGCAAAAUUGCUCUCGGGGACCGGUCCCUGGCAGGGAGGGACCGGUCUCAUCAACUGGUGUCGCGGGGUUGCUUGAAGCAACCAGUCCCUGGUAGGGAGGGACCGAUUCCCGAACGCGAUCCCAGCAAGAAAAGCCAAAAAUCGGCUAAGUCCUGAGAUUCCAAUUCUCGGGAAUCGGUCUCUUGGGGAGGAACCGGUCUCCCGAGGACCGGUCUCUCUGGGAGAGACCGGUACCCGAACGCGUGACCCGAGCUGAAGCUCUCGGGGACCGGUCCCAAGUCGGGGAGACCGGUCCCUCCGCGCGCAGAACGCCCAGUGAGGGCUGUGCACAGAGUGAAAAGUGGAGGGGGCCAGCUGGAUAUUGUUACAUUAGAGGGCUUAUUAGUCCCUCUCUCCCUCUCACUCUCUCUCAGUUCACUCUCUCUCCCUCCCUCACACUCUCUUGCUUUCUCUCUCUAGAAAAGAAGGAGAAAAGAAGAAGAAGAAGAAAGGAGAAGGAAAGAAGGAAGAAAGGGAAGGAGAAGAAGAAGGAGAUCAACAAAAGAAGGCUUUUGGACUUCUCCCUCAUCCUCUCUUCUCUCUUUUAAGCUAACCUAGAGGUAAGCUUCUAACCCUAGCUUGUGAGAUUUGGGGUUUUUGGGUUUUAGCUCUUUGGAUGGGAUCAAAUGGAUCCCUAGCACCAUGAAUGGAAGGAUUAGAGCUAGAAUCUAGGGUUUUGAGAUGGGUUUAGCUUGAUGCUAACCCUAGGGCACCAAAAUAGGGUUUUUCGGUAAAGUAUGGGAUUGAUCUCAUUUGAGGCCUUGUAAACCUAAUUGGUAGGUGCCUAAACGCGGGGGCGAAGUCGGAAUUUCGAUUCGUCGAGCGGGUCAAGAGCUAUCGGCAAAAUAAGGCCGAUUGAGCAUCAUUUGGACCAAGAAGACCGAGGCUUCGUCGUAAAGGACGCCGAAGCGCACUUCUAGAGCCUCCUUAUACGCAAAAGGUGGGGGGUGUCGUUCCGGAACAUCCGGGUUUCUUUUUAUGUCUAAGUUACAUAUGUGUUGAUCAUAUUGCAUUAUAGGAUUAAUAAAUGUAUAUUUCCUUUUCCUUGCAUGCUUCUUAGUAGUGUACUUAUGAGUUGAACACCUAGACUAGGGUAGCAUGAGGAUUGGGUCUUAUGGCAUAGAAUCCUAUAGCGGCAUAAAGAGCCGAACUUGGACAUAGCCUAGUAGAGUGGCAUUGAACUAGUGUAGUAGAGACACUAAACUUGAACGAGUGGCAUGUCAAUUAGUAGAAAACUUACUACAAUGAUCGAACGAGUGGCAUUGAGUCUAGUGUAGUAAACUUGACAUGAACCUAGGGAUAGUAGAAGUCCCAACAUUGAUUAUAUAUCAUGACUGUGCAGCAGAGGCACAUUGACCCUAGUAGACAGGGUAUCCUCUUGUGAGGAUUGGAUCAUACUCACUAGUCUGUUUUUGCUUGUCGGUGGUCGCUCCACCGAGGCACGAGUCUCCGGAGUACUUCACUAGGGGCAGACGUAGUUGUCCCGCAGACGGUCUCGGUGUGCGAGUGCAGCUUCUCCUCACCUAUGAGAUUGAGAGUGAGUCGAGGGUUAACCUACGGGUCAACCAAGUAGAUUGGGUAAUAAACAUGAAAUGCAUAGUAGACUUGCAUUAUUACCUUGAGUAGACAUAGUGUAUGUUGUAGAUUACAUUGCUAUGCACCUUUAUAUACUCAUGACAUGAUACUAGCAUGAUAGUAGUUGUUGCAUACAUUAUUAUCAUUGAUGGCAUGAUAGAGUAGUUGCAGCUCGUUUUAUAUAUAUAUCUAUCUAUCUCUCUAUCUGUGCCAGCUUAGACCUAGUGGAAAAACCGGCGGCGUCGGCGGCCGAACCCAUUGGGAACUAUAUUUAUAUAGUUCUCACCCCGUGUGGUUUUGGGGUACAGGUACACACAGAGGCGAGCCGAGCGAGGAUCGCGGCAAGGGCAUAGCGCCCUAAGUGAGCAUAGUUAGUAGCUUUCCUUUAUGCAUUAGAGUACCCUCGUGUACUAGAUAUUUUGGAUAGAUAUUGGAAAGCCACGAUAUAUUUUGAGAACAUGUAUUUACAUUUAAAAGAUGAAAUGUAAUAUAUUCGAAUGAUGUAAAUGUUGAAUGGUUGUAUUAGCUAGAUGUACUCUCUUUAUACACUUGUACUUCACUCGUGGUUCUUGCUCUUAGUUAUUGUGCACUUGUGUGCAUCGUAUCUUUCGUGUAUGUUAAUUAAGCAUUCCCUGGGCGCUUAACUGUACAUGAUCUGGUUGUUUGGCCUUGGGCGGACAAGAGAGGUGCGGUCCGUUCGGCAUCUGUUCGACGCGCCCGAACCGGACCAAAUUGGUAGCGGGCUCGGGGCAUGACACUAUAUCUGAUUGAUCGGCCAAAGCAAGUAAAAGAGCAUGCAGCCGAUCAAAUAGCUCCGGAUUUUGAGCUAAACAAGGGAGACCAUUGCUAUAAAUUUUAAGACACUCAUCAAAUUUGCGUUGAGUGUCUGAUGAUGCGAUAAUGGUCGAAGAAUCAUCUCCCUCAUUGGAACUGGGACUUGAAACCAGUAGAGAAUGAAGAGUAGCAGAUAGAGGAUCCUCAGGAACAAAAGGGGAGGUUUCAUGAGUCGGAUGAGGAGAUACGGUGCUUGUUUCUCCAUAGCCUUGCCCGAAAGGUACAUUUACUUUUUCAUCCCCUGUAGUUGGCACUGGGGCAGGGGCAGAAGGAAGUGAUACGUCCCUACUUGAUAAUGGCGUCGUGCUUGCCUCUUCAACAGACUUUUUCUUUUUCUCUACCCCUCGCUUCUUUUCAAGACGAGCUUCCCUACGAAGUUGUCUCUCUAACUGCGUCCUUGAAGAAUGAAUAAAAGAGACUCUUUCAGGAGAGGACUGUGGGUUAAAAGAAAAUGAUAAAUAAAUAAAGAAAGAGAAAAUUUGGGUACAGGCAAAUAACUUGGCUUACCUCGAUCUCAAUUGGUUCUGUCGGGAUAGGGAUUUGUUUUGUAGCCGAAGUAGGUACAUUUGUUUCCUCUGAUGAAACACCAACCGGAGGCAUGUUUUCGGCUCUUAUUUCUGGGAUUGAAGCCGAAGGUGUAUCUUCGGCUUUGUCUUUUAAAAGAUCAGCCAAAGGAGCAUUUUCGGUUUGUCGAAAUUGCCUUUUAGCAACUGAUUUAUGCCGCUUUGGAGGCGGCGGAGGAGUAGAUUGAGCGGUCUCAAUCGGUCUUUUUUCUGAAGCUGAGACCGAUGGAGAAACUGAAAUUGACUGCAGAAAAGAAAAAUAAGUAUUUGGAAUGUUGAAAAGAAAGUUAAAAUAGAGGUGAUUACAUUACAGAAGAAGAAGGCUUGGCCUCAGAAGCUUCUUCUAUUUCUUCUCUUGAUGAUGAGACAGGAGUAUCAACUGAAACAAGUGGAUGAAUAGUUCUACGGAAUGCCUGAAGAAGAGAAGGUCGAGAGUACGGUCAGUAAAAUGAUCCCAAAUAGUAGCAUAGCCGGCAAGAGCAACUCCUGUGUAGUUUGGCCUGAAGCUCACUAAUUUAAAGAAUCGACGAAGGCGAUUUCCUAUAGCCGAAAUCUUAUCAGCUUCGGCUAUACCUUUAGUAGGGGGUCGAUGAUCGGCUGUAUUAGUUGUAAAAAAUUUAGAUAGAGCAGGAAUCGGUUGAACAAAUCCAAACUAGCGGGCCACAUACUGAGGGGAAUAAACUUCAGUGCUUGGUAAUAGUUUUGAGCUCAAUUUUAACCCCACAUGAAGAUCUCUCGGAGCCAAAUAAGAGUACCAUACCUCUGAGUACUCACUAGCGCGAGAAGAGGCCAAUUCACCCUGGAUAGCUUCAAACCGGGCAAGGAACCAGGAAGGACCGGGAAGACGGUGAGCAAAGGGAGCCCAGGAAAUAGCCGAUUCAGGACUCGGCUCAUAAAAAGUUUUAAAAUAAGUAAGAAAGUCAGAAGGUUGACCCAGAGUCAUCGGCUACGGAUAGCCGAGAGAUAACCUAUAAGAAUCAAAUUGGGCAACCGAAGUCGGAUUAAAAGGAGAUUGACAUAAAGCGGGAAUAUAGAAUUGCAAAAAUAUUUGAAGAAACCAGAAAACACCGCAGCCAGAACUGAUGGCAAUACCAUCUCCAGAAGGCAGUAUUUUGAUAGAAUCAAAAAUUUCUCUAUAGACAAAGGCAAGAAAGUAAGGCCCUAGAGCUAAUCUAUCGCCGUUAGACAAACCAACGGCGAUUGGAACAAAAUCACGAUUGAUCUUCUGUGAACGAGUACAGAAGAAAUUAUGACAUAACCAAUAAAGGAGGAAUGUCGUAUGUUCUUUCUUAGUAACGGAAGUAGGGGAUUCACCUGCGAAUUUGCGGAUAAACUUGGAGUAAGCCAAGUCAUUGAGGUCUAAACGAUCCUCAAAAUCAGAUACGCCGUCAAGAUUAUAAGACAUAGAAACAGUAACGCCAUGAGGGCGGAAGCCAGUAAUGGCGGCCAAGUCAAAAUGAGUGGGGGUAAGAGGUCCUCUUUUGAAAAGAAAAAUAUUAGAAGGAGGGGACCAAAAACAUAGAGCGGCGGCUAGAAGAAGAUUAUCGGCAAUAGAAGGAUGCCGAGACAAUUGGAUAGCUUCAUAUAUCCCAACCUCUCGCCAAAAGUCACCAAAGGCGACUUCUACUCGAUCUAACCAGGUUAAAUAUGCCUCUGAGAUACUUGGCGAGGUUCGAAGACUCUUCCCUGUUGAAGCAUAAGAGUACCAAGAUUGAAGAUGAAUAGCUUUUCUCAGGGGAAGACCGUCGCUAGAAAAGGGUGAGUCGACAAGGGAUGGCACUUUUGUAAGAGAAGGACCCAAAAUAAAUCUAGAUGGGUCUGAGUCGACAAAGGGUUUAAGUAUAGUAUAAUCCAGGGAUGGAUGAGAAGGAAGAGGCGGAACCAGCGCCAUUAGUCAAAAAAGAAAAAAAGAGAAAGAAGCCAAGUGAAAAAUAAAAGAAAUCAAAGAAGAUGAAGGAAAAAUAAAAGGAAGCGAAAGAAAAGUUUCAUGGAAGACGAAGAAGAAAUAGAAGAGACAAAAAGAAUGAAAAGCUUGGAGAAGAAGAAAGGCCAUCAUAUCGAACCGUCGCGUCGAAACGAGUUUCGAGGUCGACUUUAAUAAUGAAUAGACGGCGAUAAUUAAGAUGACCUAGUUAAUGCCGCAGAUGAGACAAAAUGAGGAUUGAGAUCGGGCCGUAAGAAAGAAAAUAAACGGCUAAGAUUGAACCGUACAGAGGGUCACGCCUCGAAUUACGUCGGGUACAGGUACAGAGAGUUUCAAUGUAAUUGGACCGAGAAUGACGCCUCGGAUCGCACUUGUUAUUGAAGCAAUUACAGGAUUUCGGCAGCGAAAAAAGGGACGGCUGAGAUGAAACCAUACCGGAAAGUUGAAAAGUAAUCGUGUCUCAGGUUACGCCAGCUACCGAAGUGUUACUUCGAAAGCUGCCGAGGGGGCAAUUGUUGAGCCAAUUAGGCGCGGACAGGAUCGGUGCUGGUAUUCCCUUCAAAAGCAUCUAUUCGAUCGUGCAUUGGGAGCACCGGAAAAGUGUAAAGAAAAACAAAUUGCUCCAAUUGAAGGAAGUUACGGUAACCGCAAGCAGUUACAUGCGGUUCCGAUCGGCUAGAUGUGGUCCGGAAUAUGAGGAGAUAGUGGUCGAUCGUGUAAGAGCAAUAACUGACUGAAGGGGUUAUCUAUAAAUAGGGUAAUAAUACCCUAAAAAGGGGUCUUUUCUCCUGCGAACAAAAGACCACCCUUAUUUUCCUGCAUCUUUCUUUUCUGCAUUUACUGCUUUUCCUAGGAGUAGUUCCUGUAACUUAGCAUCCUGGAGUCUGUCUGCCCUUUGGGCAUCACUCCGCUGUAGACUAAACCCCUUUUUUCUGUACUUUUUUCGUUCUACUUCAAUAGAAGGCAGUGUUCGGCUCUUCAGGCUGACCAGUUUCUGUGCUGUAUUAGCCAUUCGGCUCAUUUCUUGGUCAAAAUUCUGGCUUCUCCUGUGCAUUCGGCUCAUCCGGCCGAACAGAAGAGAGAAUAAAGUUUACGGACCCGGUUGAUUGGAUCCCUCAUCGACCGAAUCGCUUGAUAGAUCAAAUGGCACAAACUUCGAGGGUUAUCAUUCACAGCCGCUCAUCAUCCCGACACAUAUCCCGAGGACGGGAAAAUUCGGCUUCCAACAGAUUUAAAUUAAACUCUAAUAUUUGUAUUAGAGUCUAAUUUAAUUUGAUUGAACUCAAAUUAUAUGUGGUAGAGUCCAAUUUAAUUUGAUUAGGCUCUAUAUAUGUCAGAACCUAAUUAGGUUCGAGUCGUGGUUCAUAUCGGUUGGGUUUUGUUUGAAUUUUGGUUGAGAUUGGAAUACGGUUUGUGUAAUAUAUGGAAACUGGGAGUUGCGAUGUCAGCUUUGAUCUAUUGGAUCAAAGUGCGGAUUGAGCUAGUUGGACAUCAUCCCCGAGUGAUUUUGGAUGCGUGUGAAUGAAUUUUGGAGAUAAAUAAGUGUUUCGGCGCAAAUUGGGCGCGAAACAAAAAGUAAAGAAAAUUGUCAGAUUCUGACGCUAACUUUGAUUAAGAGAAUUAAAGUGAGCAAAGUAAUAUAAAAUGGUGUGAGAUACCAUUUGAUUGGAUUUAAGGGUGUAAGAUAUAAGUCUGGAAUGACUCGUGUUGGAAUCGGAGCGAAAACUGAAGAAUUGGAAUUUUCUGUAAAGAAUGGACUGAGAAAUUAGCAGAAAAUGCACAGUGUCAGAAAAUUAUGAAAAUUGGAAGAUAUAUCAGGAAUAUGUUUAUGAGGCCAGAUUUCAAGUUUCAUAUUAUUCUGACACUUGUAGAGAGAGAAAUUGAAUCCGAAAGUUAUCGGAUAAAGGUUGCAGUUCGGUACAGUUCGCAGUGACCAAAUGGGGUCGGAACUGAAAUGUUAAAAUUUUUUUGGACUUGUUAAGUAAAAUCGAACAUGCCUGUCAAGUUUGAGCUCAAUCGGACUUUUGGAAGGGACUGUGAAAGGUAUCUAAUCCGUGUGACGAAACGGAGUAUAAGUCGAGGACAUUUUGGUAAAUUGCAUGGCUUAAUGGAAUUCCACUAAACCAGCCUGCAGGGAGCCCUCCAUCCUUAUCCCCUGCCUUUCCCUUCCAUACGUAGAGAGAGAGGGAAAGAGAAGAGAAUAAGAAGAAGAAGAAGAAGAAGUAGAAGAAAAAGAGAAAAGGUGAGAAUCCGAGUUUUUAAUCCUCUCCCCCUCAUCCUUUUUCCCUGCUGCUGAAAACAGCAGCAGCAGCAGCAGCCCUUGCUGCUGCUGUGAGCAGGAACAGCAGCAGCAGCUGUAGCUCACAGCAGCAGCAGUAGCAUGAGUAGCUCAGCAGCAGCAGCAAGCUGCUGCUGAAGCAGCAGCAGUAGCACCAGCAGCUGCUGCUGAAGCAGCCAACAGCAGCAGCUACUGGAUCAGUAGCAGCAGCUGCUGGAUCAGCAGCAGGAUUAGCAGCAGUAGCAAGCUGUAGCAGCAGUUUGCUCAGCAGCAACAGCAGUGGCCUUAGCAGCCUGCGCCAGCAGCAUGCGCAGCAGUAGCAGUAGCAGCUGCAGCAAUCAGCAGCUAACAGCAGCUGCAGCUAGCAGCAGCAGCAGUGGCACCAGCAUUAGCAGCAGAGCAGCAGCAGCUCAGCAGGACCUGCAGCAGCAGCAGCAGCAGCUUAGCAGUGGCAACAGUGGCAGCUGCUAUCAGCAGCAGUAGCAGCAGCAGCAAUGGCAACAGUGGCAGCAGCAGCAGCUGCCCUGCAGGGCCAACAAGAAAGAAAAGAGGAAGAAAGAAAGAAAGAGAAAAGAAAGAAAGAAGGAAAAGCAAGAAAGAAUACGAAUGAAAAAUGAGGAAAAGGGAGAAAUGGAAAGAAAAGAUCGAAACUAAGUUGAAUUGCAUAGAAACGGGUUUAAUGAAUUUUGACCCCGGUAAUGCACUUUUGCAGGAUAGGAGUCCUAAUGCGAAAUUGACUGCGUACAAACCAAAUUGAGGGUAAAAGAAACGCGUUGGCGAAGUCGGUUCGGCAAUCCGUCGAGCCUACGCAAAGAUAUCGCCGAAAAGAUGUUUUCGGCAUCAAUUGGCACGAGCGCUGUCACGCCCCCGCCCGAGACCACUACCAAUUUGGCACGAUUCGGUCGCGGCGAACGGACCGCCGAACGGACAGCACCUUCCCUGUCCGCCCAAGGCACCAAUAACAAGAUUGUGUACCACAAGUUCCCAGGAAAUUACUUGAAUACAUACACAAUCAUUCGACAACUACGAGAGCACAAUCAGUGCCUAUCAAUCAAGAGCAAGCAACACAUGUAAUGCAUACAAGUGAUAAAAGAGAGAUGUACUUAUCUAUUGAUCCAUUAAACUUUAUACAAUUAUUACAACUUGUAUUCUUCCAAAACUAUACAAUGUAUACACAAUUCUCUCAACCUCACCCUAUACAUCAUCUACGCUCAAGCAUAAGUACAGGGUAGGGCUAAUGUAAAAAGGAGGAGAGCUAGCUAGAACAUAAACCACUAGGGCGCUACGCCCUUGCCGCGAUCCUCUCCCGGAACGCUCGAGCUCGGACCUGCAGUGUGGUGGAGUGAGAACUACGAAUAGUUCCCAGUGGGUUCGGCCGCCGACUCCGCCGAUCUCCCCACUAGGUCUUAAGCAGGCACAGAUAGAUAUGCAGAUAGAUAGAUAUAUAAAGCUGAAAACAGUAACAGUAAGGAGCAACUAUAAUCUAUCAAUGCCUCAAUCCAGUGUAAUGCAUGCAUGGAACUCAUAGUAAGAAGGCUGACUAUUACAUUACCAUGUUCAACAACAAAGUCACUCAUCUGGUUACCCAAUCUCUCGGCGAACGCAAGGUUCGCUCACAGUCUCACGUCUCCAAGUCUCAUAGGAGAGGUGGCUAGCUAUUCACCUACCCCNNNNNNNNNNNNNNNNNNNNNNNNNNNNNNNNNNNNNNNNNNNNNNNNNNNNNNNNNNNNNNNNNNNNNNNNNNNNNNNNNNNNNNNNNNNNNNNNNNNNNNNNNNNNNNNNNNNNNNNNNNNNNNNNNNNNNNNNNNNNNNNNNNNNNNNNNNNNNNNNNNNNNNNNNNNNNNNNNNNNNNNNNNNNNNNNNNNNNNNNNNNNNNNNNNNNNNNNNNNNNNNNNNNNNNNNNNNNNNNNNNNNNNNNNNNNNNNNNNNNNNNNNNNNNNNNNNNNNNNNNNNNNNNNNNNNNNNNNNNNNNNNNNNNNNNNNNNNNNNNNNNNNNNNNNNNNNNNNNNNNNNNNNNNNNNNNNNNNNNNNNNNNNNNNNNNNNNNNNNNNNNNNNNNNNNNNNNNNNNNNNNNNNNNNNNNNNNNNNNNNNNNNNNNNNNNNNNNNNNNNNNNNNNNNNNNNNNNNNNNNNNNNNNNNNNNNNNNNNNNNNNNNNNNNNNNNNNNNNNNNNNNNNNNNNNNNNNNNNNNNNNNNNNNNNNNNNNNNNNNNNNNNNNNNNNNNNNNNNNNNNNNNNNNNNNNNNNNNNNNNNNNNNNNNNNNNNNNNNNNNNNNNNNNNNNNNNNNNNNNNNNNNNNNNNNNNNNNNNNNNNNNNNNNNNNNNNNNNNNNNNNNNNNNNNNNNNNNNNNNNNNNNNNNNNNNNNNNNNNNNNNNNNNNNNNNNNNNNNNNNNNNNNNNNNNNNNNNNNNNNNNNNNNNNNNNNNNNNNNNNNNNNNNNNNNNNNNNNNNNNNNNNNNNNNNNNNNNNNNNNNNNNNNNNNNNNNNNNNNNNNNNNNNNNNNNNNNNNNNNNNNNNNNNNNNNNNNNNNNNNNNNNNNNNNNNNNNNNNNNNNNNNNNNNNNNNNNNNNNNNNNNNNNNNNNNNNNNNNNNNNNNNNNNNNNNNNNNNNNNNNNNNNNNNNNNNNNNNNNNNNNNNNNNNNNNNNNNNNNNNNNNNNNNNNNNNNNNNNNNNNNNNNNNNNNNNNNNNNNNNNNNNNNNNNNNNNNNNNNNNNNNNNNNNNNNNNNNNNNNNNNNNNNNNNNNNNNNNNNNNNNNNNNNNNNNNNNNNNNNNNNNNNNNNNNNNNNNNNNNNNNNNNNNNNNNNNNNNNNNNNNNNNNNNNNNNNNNNNNNNNNNNNNNNNNNNNNNNNNNNNNNNNNNNNNNNNNNNNNNNNNNNNNNNNNNNNNNNNNNNNNNNNNNNNNNNNNNNNNNNNNNNNNNNNNNNNNNNNNNNNNNNNNNNNNNNNNNNNNNNNNNNNNNNNNNNNNNNNNNNNNNNNNNNNNNNNNNNNNNUUUUGCACUGGCACUCUCGCGGACCUUUCCUUAGCGCACUUAGCGCAUCAUUACCUCCGUCGGACUUUCCGAAGCCUACACACUCGACGACCAGUCGAUUCUAGACGAAGUCUAAUCCUCAGUUUUCGAGAAUUCACUUCCCUUACAUUCUCCCCACCUUAAAAGAGUUUCGUCCUCGAAACGAAUUCAACGAUAUCAAAUUCAUCCAAAGUUAACUCUAAACUCAUACCUCGGCUCAAUCCUCGAAUAAGUGAGGAUGAUUCGCUUUCAUCUCCUCCUCGAGCUCCCAGGUGGCUUCACGAUCGCUAUGAUUGCUCCACCGGACUCGAAUAUAAGGAAUUUCGCGACUUCUCAACUUGCGCACUUCUCGAGCUAGAACCUCCACUGNUCCGCGAACAUCAAUCUUCGGAACUCCUCCCAAUCGAUCGGGGGAAGAUCCGGAGAUCGAUCCUGCUUUACUCUCUUCCACCACACCCUGGCCCGCUUUUCAAAACAAUGAGCGGCCAAAUUAACCUUGUCCCGCUCCUCAGUAUAGAUAUCCUCGAAUAGGGUCUCCAUCGAGGCCAACCAUGUCUCCACCGUCCAAGGAUCUAUCACUUCUCCGUCAAACGUAGGCGGGUGGAACUUCGCAAACCUUGUGAGAGCCGUGUAACCACGCUCUCGCUUCGCCUCCUCAGCCGCCGCUCUAGGCGUAGGGGACCUCGACGCCGCAGGAGGAAUAUCCACCGGUGGGGGUUGCGCCGCCACCGGAACCGGCGCAUCACCCACACCCUCGGCCGCAUUGGGGGCGCGAACCGAAGGCGCAGGCGGGUCACAGCCUUGUCCGACUGCCGCAGCCGCCGCCGCAGCCUGACGCUCCAUAAGCUCCUGGAGCCGAUCGAACCGCCCUGCUAACGCAGCAACUUGUGCCCGCAAUUCCCGCACCUCACUAGGCCCAGCUGGCUCUAGCGCCGCCGGGGGCACAGCUGACUCGGGCACCCCUGGGGGUGGUGCCAGAGCAGUCCUACGCACAUAGCGUCUUUUCGGUGCCAUUAGCUCCUGAAACGCAAACAAUCGGUUAAUUACUUAACCCAACGACGUUUUCGCAGUUACGAAAUGAUACAACUUAAUUAAACAAAUCAGACGGAAGCUCAUAAGUGUACCCGUUCUUGACUCUCGGCAUUGUGUUGUCGGCCGCCAACACAAUCGCCUUAAGCCAAGGACUAGUAUCACUCAAUUUAUCUCUAGUAACCACUAGAGCAUCAGCACCGACUUCGACCCAAUCGAUCAACUUCCGUCGCGUCAUAGGUUCACGUCGCACUCACGCACCUAUAACCUUAAGGCUCACCGUCCUAGGGUCUCCUAGGUCAGUCCUAGACUCUCUCUUUUGCUUGCUCUUACUCGCUCUGAUACCACAACUGUCACGCCCCCGCCCCGAGUCCGCUACCUAUUUGGCACGAUUCGGGCGCGGCGAACGGACCGCCGAACGGACAGCACCUCCUCUGUCCGCCCAAGGCUCAAACCACUAGAUUGCGUACAACAAGUUCCCAGGAAACCAUUUGAAUACAUACACAAUCAUACAACAACCACAAGAGCACAAACAGUGCUUAUCAACUAAGAGCAAGCAACACAUGUAAAGCAUACAAGUGACAAAGAGAGAUGUACUUAACUAUUAAUCCAUUUAACUUUAUACAAUUAUUACAACUUGCAUUCUUCAAAAACUGUGCAACAUAUAUACAACCCUCUCAAACCUCACCCUAUACAUCCAACUACUCUCAAAAUAGUACAGGGUACGGCUAAUGCAAAAGGAGGUAAGCUAGCUAUAAACAUGAACCACUAGGGCGCUACGCCCUUGCUGCGAUCCUCUCCAGGGACGCUCGAACUCGGACCUGCAAUGUGGUGGAGUGAGAACUACGAAUAGUUCCCAGUGGGUUCGGCGGCCGACUCCGCCGAUCUCCCCACUAGGUCUUAAGCAGGCACAGAUAGAUAUGCAGAUAGAUAGAUAUAAAACUGAAAGCAGUAACCGUAAUGAACAACUAUAAUCUAUCAAUGCCUCAAUCCAGAAUGAUGCAUGCAUGGAAGUCAUAGUAAGAAGGCUGGCUAUCAUACUACCAUGUUCAACAAUAAGGUUAUUCAUCUAAUUACCCAAUCUCUCGGCGAACGCAAGGUUCGCUCACAAUCUCACGUCUCUAAGUCUCAUAGGGGAGGUGGCUAGCUAUUCACCAACCCCGAGACCGCCUGCGGACACUACACUGGUCCAAGGGCACUACACUGGCCCCCUCGCGUGCCAAACUCCGGAGUGCACUACCUGUGAGGAGCUACCUCCACAGGUGCAGACAGGCUAAGUGAGCUCGAUCCGAUCUCAUGAACUGGGAACACCCUACCCAACCAGGGGUGAUAGCAACAUAGUAUCUCAACUAAACUAGUGUUCUCAUGCCACUCUUGCACUACUUAAUGCCACUCGUUCAAUGUUUAGGGUUAACUAGAUGCCACUCGUUCUCUUGACAAGUUCUCGAUACACUAGUUUCCAAUACACUAGGUAUACAUUCACAUAAACAUAUCCAUCAUAUAUAGGGCGAACUAUCUCAUAGUAUUCGACUCCUGCAUACUAGGUUUUCAUUCAUGGUAUCUACAACCUAUACAUCACUAGCAUGCGAGGAUAUGCACAAUUACAUGUAACACCCUAUAAUGCUAUAUCACAAUAUGCAAAUGAUCGAUAAUAAUACUCAGAAAUAAAGAGUAGCCCGACCGCUUCGGGAUGGCACUCCCCCACCUCGUGGUGAUGCCGCGACUCUUCAAACGCGUUUCGCCGACUUUUCAACGCCUCAUUGGCCUUCUAAGCGAAAACGAAGCUCCGAAGGUCUAUUUGGCGAUAACUCCGCACCCACUCGACGGAUCGACGAACCGUCUUCGCCGACGCGUUCAGAGACCUAGCAAUUAGGUUUGCGACCCAUCAAUUUAGAUCAAAACCCUAGAUUUGCCAAAAUCCUUAAUUGAAGCCCUAGAUCUCGAUACUGGAGAAAUCCACGGUGCGAGCUUCGAUUUCGAGCUCGAACCUUCUCCCUAGCUUCAAUAGAUUCCAUUUGAACCAAUUCCAAGCUAUAAAACCCUAGCUUCCAAAAUUUGCCAUUAAAGGGUUUGAGGUUUACCUCAAUACCAAUCUCCAAACUUGAAGAGGGAGAGAAGAAGACGAUCUUCUUCUUCUUCUUAGUCUUCUCCUUCUCUUUCUCCUUCUUUUCCUUCCUCUCCUUCUUCUUCUUCUUCUUUUUCUUCUUUUCCUUUCCAGAGAGAGAGAGAGGAAGAGUGUGAGAGAGGGAGAGAGCAACUGAGGGAGAGAGAGGGGUCCCCAAGCCCUCAUAUAGGCCAUUUUGCAACUAGCCCCCUCAACUUUUCAUUUCCUGAAAUAGCCCUCCCUGGGCCAUUUUCGCAGUGAGGGACCGGUCCCUGCUCGGGGAGACCGGUCUCCGAAAGCUCCACAACCAGGCAGAGGGGAUUUCGCGUUCGGGAACCGGUCCUUGCCUGAGAGACCGGUCCCCGGGAGACCGGUCCUUGUCCGAGAGACCGGUUCCCGAGAGCAACACUUUCGGGACUUAGCCAAAUUCCCGCUUCUCUCGCUGGGCCAACGUUCGGGAACCGGUCCCUGCUUGCCAGGGACCGGUCUCAUCAGAGACCCCCGCAGCCCAGCCUGAUGGGACCGGUCCCUCCCUGCCAGGGACCGGUCCCCGAGAGCAUUUUUGCUCCAGUGUAGCUUUUGCACUGGUGCUCUCGCGGACACCUCCUCAAUGCACCUUAUGCAUUGUGAUCACCUUCGGACCUUUCGAAGCUUACACACUCGACAAUCAGUCGAUUCUUGGCGAAGUCUAAUCCUCGGGUUUCAAGAAUUCACUUCCCUUACAGAAUAGAUAGUAACCAACUAACAAAUGCAGCUAAUAUGCCUGAACAACAAACAAUGGUAUGCACGAUAGAAUGCUCAUGAUGAAUGUAAGAUUAUAUUUUCAUUGCCCAAUCUCAUGGCUAGCCUGUGGGUUUCGCCCUCAACAAACUCACCAACUCUAAAUCUCAGUAUCGGGGAGAAACUCCUACGAUCCGACGGGACCGUCCUCUGGGAAGAAACUCCUACGACCCAGUGAUGACUACUCCGGAGCUCAUUGCCCGAGGGGGAGCUACCACCCUCUGAGCAAGGACUAACAGGCGAGUAUGAUCCAAUCCUUAACUUUAAGGUUUUCGAAUUAAAUCCAUUCCUUGACUUCAAGGAAGCAAUGCUCAUAAGUUGCUAUCUCUAUUUACUUGCAUUCCUUACAUAUACUAGUGUCAUGUACACUACUUUGUUCUUGUACUCUCAUUGAUGCCACACUUGUUUUCUAAGUGUUCAUUUCUAGCAUUCUUGUCAUUUUCUAAUGCCACACACUCUAGUAUUGAUUUGCAUAGUUGACACCUACUAAUGCCACCCAAUCCAUAUGUCAUUACGUCAUUUUGAUUCUUUACCUCAUCUAGGUUCUUAUCACAUUUUAUGCAUACAUAGGGUUCUCAUAAUCUUAGUCUUUUACCAUUCUUUCACAUGCAUUUAUACUCGUAACAUGCAAGAAAAUACUUUCAAAUAACCCUACUAUGCUCAACGCUCAACAUUCACAUAUGCUCAAAUAAAUGACAUUUUAGACAUAAGAGGAAGUUCGAGGACUUCGGAAAGCACCACCCACUUUUGAUGGUUGAGAGGAUGCUACGGUUCAAUUCUCGGGAUUUUAGGGCGUCUACUCUCACGCCUGCGGCAAAACAAAGACAAAUUAGGCUUUUACUCAAUAACUUUAUUUAAACCUUUUCGUAAUGUCAACGGAGUUGUCCCAUGCGUCGGGAAUAACCCUAAUUAGAUUUCUAUAAGGUCCAUUUGCCUUAGGAACUUCCUAGGGCAAAAGCCCUAAAUUUGGUGCCCUAAUGUCGCCAUUUGCAGAAUCUUAGGUUUCGAUCUCGAAAACAAGCAAAAGAGAGCUUGCUUAACCUCUAGAAGUUCAUUUAGAACCAUCCAAACCAUUUCUAGAGCAUAUAAAGCAAUCCCUAGAAAUCCACCAUUAGAGCACUUUGAAGAAACUAGGGUUUCAUGUGUUCUAUAGCUCCAACUAGGUUUCUAUACUCAUUAGAAGAUCAAAACCUAGUUUUCUAGGACAUAAACCCAAACCCUAGCCUAGGUUUUCAUGAAAACCUCACCUUGGCCCAAAGCUUUCCAAGAUCCUUCUUGUUGGAGAGAUCCCAAACCCUCAAAGCCUCCAAAUCCACCUUCAAAAGCCUCUUCUACUCCUUCUCCUUGCUCUUUGGGGAGAGUUCUAGAGAGAGAAAGAGAGAAAUGAGAGGGAGAGUGUAAAUGGCUGUGGGAGAGAGAGGGGAGAGGUGUUGGGUUAUUAACAAGUUGUAACAAUUACCACAAAAUCCUCCAAUCACUUGUAUUUGCAGCAGUUUUCAUUUUGCUGUCUGAUCCAAAGUGUACCGGUACACGGGAUUUUGUACCGGUACAUUUCCUGCGCAGAGGCAACCCGAGAGCAAGUUUCUCGGUUUCGUAGCAUUUGUACCGGUACACUUUCAAAGUGUACCGGUACACCUCUAAUUUUUUUUUCUCAAACUCGAGAGCUAUUACCUCUCGAUUUGCAGGGUUGUACCGGUGACGACUCGAUGGUUGUACCGGUACACUUUGCCCAUAAUGCUAUAUUUGCGCCGUUUUCAAUUCUAUGUCGCGCCGGUCGAUGCUAAAACCUUUCUAACACCUUUUAACUCAUUUUUAACCCUUCCAACAUUGUUGGAAUGCCAACUAGAGUUUGUCCAUCCAUUUCUCUCAGUACUUUAAUCUAUUUUGGCUAAAGUUCGAUAAUCUCUAUCGGGGUUUCGAUACGUUACAUUCUCCACCCCUUAAAAUUAGUUUCGUCCGUGAAACUUACUUAAUUUAAACUUAAACUCAUACCUCAAUUCAGCUCAGUGAAGAGAUGAGGGUAAUGCUCCCGCAUUGCACUCUCGAGCUCCCAAGUAUCUUCCCAAUCGUCGUGAUUGCUCCAAUGGAUUUUAACAUACGGAAUUUCACGAUUCCGUAGUUUCCUCACUUCUCAAUCGACGAUAAAUACCGGGAACUCCUCAUAAGUCAUAUCCUCUUGAAUCUCCGAUGGUUCAAACGAGAGGAUAUGGUCGGGAUCAUGAAUAUACUUAUGGAGAUUCGACACGUGGAACACAUCGUGCACUCCCGCGAGCCUCGGUGGUAAUGCUAUCCUGUACGCCAUCGUGCCAACCCACUCUAGUAUCUCGAACGGUCCCAAGUACCGGGGACUUAGCUUUCCCCGGAGUCCAAACUGUCUAAUUUCUCGCAUCGGCGAUACCUUUAAGAACACGUGGUCGCCAAUUGCAAACUCUAUGUCCUUUCUCCGCUUGUCGGCAUAACUCUUCUGUCGAGAUUGCGCCGUAGCGAGUCUUUGGCAGGCAAGGCGAACUUUCUCCUCCGCCUCCCUCACCACAUCCGGGCCAAGAGUAGCUCUCUCACCCACAUCGCUCCAAUGAAUUGGAGAGUGACACUUCCUUCCAUAAAGGUCCUCGAACGGCGCCAUUGCGAUACUCUCUUGAUAACUACUAUUGUACGCGAACUUCCCUAUCGAUAAAUGAUCGUGCCAACCGCCCUUAUAGUCGAGUACACACGCUCGAAGCAUAUCCUCAAGUAUUUGUAUCGUCCUCUCUGAUUGACCAUCACUUUGAGGAUGAAAUGCCGUGCUAAAGUCGAGCCGUGUGCCCAAUGCCUCCUGUAGGCUCUUCCAAAAAUGAGAUGUGAACCUCGGGUCCCGAUCCGAUACAAUUGAUACCGGAACCCCAUGAAGUCUCACAACCUCGUCAAUGUAUACUUGGGCCAACUUGUCACCCGACCAAGUAAUAUGUAUCGGUAGGAAAUGCGCCGACUUCGUCAACCGGUCUAUUAUCACCCAAAUUGCAUCAUGUCCACCUUGAGAUCGGGGCAAUCCGGUCACGAAAUCCAUCGCGAUAUUUUCCCAUUUCCAAACGGGUAUAGGUAAGCUUUGUAAUUUUCCCGCCGGAAACCGCCGCUUCGCUUUUACUUAUUAGCAAGUAAGACAUUGCGCAACAAACUUUCCAACGUCUUUCUUCAUGCCCGGCCACCAAUAAUGCAAUUUCAAAUCUUGGUACAUCUUGGUGCCGCCGAGGUGGACACUAUAAGGAGAUUGAUGCGCUUCUUGCAUAAUCGCCUUGCGGAUGUCCUUGUUCUUAGGAACACACCAACGAUUACGAAAUCGAAGGGUGCCGUCGGUCCCAAUGCCAAAAUCAUCGGCAUUACCGCUCUCAACUUCACCGCGCACCUUUCGGAGAUACUCAUCGGAAGCUUGUAGCUCUUUUAUCCUCUCCAACAAGGUCGGUUGCACCAUUAACGUGGCAAGUGUAGCCGGCACUCCCAGCGCUACUACUUCUAAUCCAAGCCGUUGCAUCUCUUUUUGCAAUAACGAUUGGGGUGUAAUUGCCGAAGCAAAGUUUUUUUUCCGAUUUUCUAUUAAGUGCAUCGGCCACGACAUUUACUUUUCCGGGGUGGUAUAGGAUAGUGACAUCAUAAUCGUUUUAGCAACUCUAACCACCGCCGUUGUCGCAUAUUCAACUCCUUUUGAGUGAACAAGUAUUUAAGGCUUUUGUGAUCCGUGUAGAUCUCACAAUGGUCCCCGUACAGGUAAUGCCUCCAUAGCUUUAGCGCGAAAAUAACCACCGCUAGCUCAAGAUCAUGAAUCGGGUAGUUCUUUUCAUAAGUCUUCAAUUGGCGCGAGGUAUAAGCUAUAACCCGCCCAUUUUGCAUCAAGACACACCCGAAACCAAUGUAUGAAGCAUCACUGUAUUCUACAAAAGUCUCCCCCGGCGUCAGCAAUGCAACCACCGGGGUCGUCAUCAACCUUUCCUUCAACUCCUUAAAGUUCCGAUCACAAUCGUCGCUCCACACAUAUUUUACUCCCUUGUGUGUAAGGCGCAUUAGUGGAGUGGUUAUUUUGGCGAACCUCUCCACGAACCGCCGAUAGUAGCCCGCUAGCCCAAGAAAGCUGCGGACCUCCGAUACACUCGUCGGGCAAGGCCAAUCUUUAAUUGCCUGAACUUUCUUUAGGUCUACCGAGAUGCCAUCACCGGAUAUAACGUGACCCAAGAAAGUAACCUCCGAAAGCCAAAAUUCACACUUCUUUAAUUUUGCAUAUAGCUUUUCCUUUCGGAGUGUCUCCAACACGAUCCUCAAAUGCUCCUCGUGUUUUUCCUCAGUCUGAGAAUAUACCAAUACGUCGUCAAUGAAUACCACGAUGCACCGGUCCAAUAGCGGACGAAAAACUCGAUUCAUUAAGUCCAUGAAAGCCGCCGGGGCAUUAGUAAGCCCAAACGGCAUAACCGUGAACUCAUAAUGGCCAUACCGCGUACGGUAUGCCGUUUUGUGCACAUCCUUGGGUCGUAUCUUCAACUGAUGAUACCCCGACUGAAGGUCUAUCUUUGAGUACACCCUCAACCCUUGCAACUGAUCGAAUAAAUCAUCAAUCCUCGGCAACAGGUAUUUGUUCUUAACCAUGACCUUGUUCAACUCGUGAUAGUCCACGCAGAGUCGAAGUGUGCCAUCCUUCUUUUUAACAAAUAGCACCGGUGCUUCCCACGGUGACACACUCGGCCUCACAAAGCCUUUAUUGAGCAAGUCUUGCAACUGGGCCUUUAGCUCCUUUAGCUCCGCCGGUGCCAUCCUAUACGGAGCCUUCGAAAUUGGCGCCGCCCCGAGAAUCAAGUCAAUGACGAAUUCGACUUUCCGGUCUGGUGGCAAUCCUGGUAACUCCGCCGGAAGCACAUCCGGAUACUCGCAUACAACCCGAAUGUUUCCCAAAUCCGGGUGCUCCUUUCGGGCAUCUACGAUGAUCGCCAAAUAGGCCUUACAACCACCCUUAAUCAUUUUCCUCGCCCUUGCCGUCGAUAUGGUCGCCGCAAAGCGCCUACUUUUGUAAGCCCGAUAUACUAACUCUUCUUGAUUAGGCUCACGGAACGUGAUCACCUUACUUUCGCAAUCUAUAACGGCAUAGUAUUUGGAGAGCCAAUUGAUCCCCAAAAUUAAAUCGAAGCCCCACAGCUGGUUUAACACCAAUAGGUCGAUCGGCAUGAUCCAAUCGCCUAUCUGUACCGGACAAUCCAAACACUCGUCAUGUACAUGGAACGAAAGUCCAGGUGUAUUCACCGUCCAAUAGUCCUCAUUAUGUGUGACCUCUAUGUCAUGAGCUAGUUCAAAUGAUGCCGAUAUGCAUAAAUGCGAUGCACCAGUGUCAAAUAACGCUCUAGCUCUAGUGCCUCUAUCAAGAUAAUACGUGCCACAACAUCGUCGGGGACUAGAAUUGGCUCCUCCACCUGAGUGGCAAAAACCCGCCCUCUCGGUGCUCUAGAUGCCUCCGGCUAUUGCGAUGCAGAAGAGCGUCCAGCAGACAUAGCCGGUGGUAAUCACGCAAGCUGUCUUGGUGUCACGCCGCGCGACCGCCCGCCUAUUUGGCCGGGUCGCGGCACGCCGACAGACCGCCGAACGGACAAGGUUUUCCCUGUACCGCGGACAGAGUCUCCCCCGUACAUUCAAGGCGUCGCAAUCAAUACAAUAUACAAAGUUCCAACCAGGAACACAUUUCAAUCAAAAAUUGCAUAAGGAAGUAUCAAAAACAUAAUCUACUUGUUAUUGCAAGCAUUCACAUUCAUACAUUUUACAUCCCAAAUACUUAUUACAUUCAACUUUCAAAUACAAUCCGAUUUAACAUGAUUAUUACAACUUGAUUCUUUUCAUUUUCUGCAACCUUAAGCAAAGCCGAUUCAGGGUACCGCUAUCUCUGGUCUCGGUGGUAGGGUGCUAACUAUGAUGCUACGCCCUCGCCUCGCGCCGCCGCGCCGCUCACGUGUGAACCUGUAACACCCCAAAACCACGUGGGGUGAGAACCAACUCCAUGGUUCCCAGUGGGUACGGCCACCCAAGGGAAAAGCUCGACCAAUAGGUCCAAGGGAGGCAACUGCAAGUUAGUUCAAUAAACAGAUAGAUAUGUAUCUUGAUUAUGCAACGAAUAAAACCAUGCAUUGCCUCACGAAUGCAAUAUGAAGAUCAUGCAAUGAUGCGACUAUACAAUCAACUAGUAAUUCAAUCGAUUACUACUUUCAUCCAAUUGAUAUUUAAGGUUUUCUGUCAUUUACCAUUUUAAUCAUAAAGUUUCAUCUAUCUUUACAAAGCUAACUAUCCGACUCGGUCUUGAGUCAAUCGUCUGCGGAGUACCGCACAAAGCCAGGCCCGAGGCGAAGGACGUCUCACUUGCACCUCGGCCUUAAAUCCCCUCAACUAGGACAUCACUAUAGCUCAUAAGUUUAUUACCCAAUCACUUGGCUAACCCGAAGGUUUCGCCCUCAACAAACUCACCAAUCCAAAAUCCCAUUAACCAGGGAGAUACUCGCUACAACCCGGUGGGACCGUCCUCUCGGGAGAUAACCGCUACAACCCAGUGAUGUCGACUCCGGAGCACAUCGCCCGAGGGGGAGCUACCACAACCUCGAGCAAAGACUAAAGGUGAGUAUGAUCAAUGAUCAAAUCCAAAAUCUUCAGGAUGUCAAGUUCAAUCCAUUCCUUAACUUUAGGAAGACUAUGCUCAAAUGACCCUAACUCUAGGGUUGAAAAGUCAUAAUAUUUCAAUCAUUCUUUUCUUUACAUUCUUUACUAUCACUUGUGUCAUAUACACUACUAUAUUCUUGGACUCAUGCCAUACUUGUUUUCUAAGUGUUCAACAUGCUAUAAGUGUUUCCACUAUACUAAUCAUAUGCCACUCGAUCUAAUAUAUAUAGAUUGUCCACGUCACAUAUCAUAGUUCAUAUGUCAUUGUUUUUCAAUGUCGAGUUCCCUAAUUCACCUAGAGUUUAUCGACCCAAGUUCAACAUGCAUGUGUCAUUUAACAUAAUCCACAAUAUGUCAAUAUACAUUCAUCUAGUAUAUUCUAUAAUAAAUCAACAUGCACUCAUUCAUCAUAUUCCACAAUAUGUCUACAUAUAUAUGCCAACCAUUCAUAUGCCAUCCAACAUGUUCCAUAAUUUAUCAACAUGCAUAUUACCUCUAACAUAUUACUAUAACAUUAUUUUCAUGCAUUCAUGUAACAAUUAACUCAUGCAUUCAUCUAGCAUUUAACACAUUAUAUGUCAUUAUGCAUGUUAUCUCAACAGUAAGUAACAUCGACUAUAUGCAUCAAUUAGAAAACCAUUACUCUUAGACAUAUAGGCGACCUAGUCGCUUUGGUGAGUACAACCCACCUCAUUUCGCAUUCCGAUUGCUUGUCGACACUUGCAAUCGGCCUCCCGCGGCACCCGGCACCCGGUUUGGCCCGAUCUCUUGCGCGACCACCCGAACGGCCUCCAAUUCACAAUCCGAAAAUUAAAGGUCUUCGGUUAUGUGCCACGAUGCUUCAAAUCCGUUUUCAUGAGUAUACGAUGUCGUCUCGGCCCUCCAGGCGGAAACGAAGCCUAAACGUCUGUUUCUUUAAUAACUUCGCAACGGCUCAACGAAUCGCCGAACCGACUUCGCCAACGCGUUCGUUUACCUAGCAAUUAGGUUUACGGAGGGUCAAAUUAGAUCAAACCCUUAUAUUUUAAAAAACCCAUUCGGAGCCCUAAUAUGCAAUUAACUUCCAAUUAAUCCAAAUUAAAUGGAGAUAACAUGUUUAGAACACUCUAGAUACUACUAGAACAUCAUUCAUGAAGGAUUUAAACAAAAUCCCAAACUCUUACCAAAACGUGAACGCCGCGACGAAAACACGCCGCUCCAACGGGCGCACGAAAGCUCGAUCCGUCGCUCCCAACGCGUUCGCAAGCAUCUUCUCCGCCAACACCGCGAAUUUGAGCGAGAGAUAUAGAGAGAUGAGAGAGAAAUCUAGAGAGAGAAAGAAAGCUUUCUCUCUUCCCACCAUGUAUGCGGGUUGGUGGUGGCGUGUAUGGUGGUCGGCAGAAGGACAAGAAGCAAAAGCUUCUUUAUACAUUACACCCCAAAACACUAUUCACUCCAGGGCAGUUUAGCAGUUCGGAACAGUUGGAGCCCUUCUGAAUGUCCGUUUGGGCUCAAAUUUGACAGGCAGGCUCGGUUUAACGUACUGAGUAAGAAUAUAUCUUAAGUUUUCAGUUUUGACCUCGUUUGGUCACUGAAAACUGUACCGAACUGUAAUCUUUAUCAGAUAGCCGUCAGAUUUUAUUUCUCACUCUACGGGUGUCAGAAAAAUAUGAAAUUUCAAAUCUAGCCUCAUAAAAAUAUUUCUGACUUAUCCUCCAAUUUUCAUAAUUUUCUGAGACUGUGCAUUUUCUGCUAAUUUAUCUGUCCCGUUUCCAACAGAAAAUUCUAAAUCUUCUGUUUCCAGUCCGAUUUCAGCACAAGUCAUUUCUGACUUAUAUUUUACUCCUCUAAAUCCAAUAAAAAUAGUUUCUCACACUAUUUUUAUUUAUUUUUAUUUUUACACCAAAAUCUGGUAUGUUACACUUGGAGUAGAAGGAACUGACGCCGACGUCGGUGCAGACGACCCCCAAUUAGGGCACUCCCAAGCCAUAUGCCCCGCUUGGCCGCACUUGAAGCACUUUCCUUCGUGUUGCGGGCAAGUCGCCGGUCGAUGCUCACCGCCGCAAAUAACGCAUCGAGAAGGCCUCCAAGUCUUUGACUGCUGUCGAGGAUACCGAGAGGGUUUGUUAGCAUUGAGCCGGCCUCCGGCACCGCCCGCCGCCCGCUUCUUUCCUUUAUCCUUUGACUCCACCAUAGUCUCGCGCCCCUCGCGCUCGUGGGCAUAGCCAUGCUCCGCCCACAAGGCUCGAUCAAAGACCUCAGCAAAGGUCGUAAGCUUAAGGAUCUGCACGGCCCUAUGAAUCCCCAGCUGAAGUCCUCGCAAGAACCAAUCGGCCCCGUCCCGGUCAUCACGAACAACCUCCAGGACGCAAUCGAUAAGGUGGGAGAACUCCUGCUCGUAGUACGCCACGGAGUGAUCCCCUUGCCUCAACUUGCAAAAUUUUUCUUUCAACUUCCGCUUCACUGUGUCGGGGAAGUAAUUGGCGAACACCGCCCUCUUGAACUCCUCCCACAAUAUAGGCGGAAGAUUGGGAGAUUGAUCCCGCCUAACACGCUUCUACCACACCUUUGCCGCCUUUUCAAGGCAAUGUGUGGCGAGGUACACCUUGUCCUUCUCUAGGGUGUUUAGGUCUUCGAAAAGUGUCUCUAUGGAGUCAAUCCAUGCCUCCACUACCGCCGGUUCCACCACCCCCCCUUCAAAGACAGGUGGGUUGAACUUCUGAAACUGAAUGAGAGCCGCCAACGCGCGCUCCCGCUCCGCCCCUUCCGCCGUACUAUCGGCAUUUGAGGUCCCCUAUCCGGCCGGUAUCGCCGUAACUGGAAUGGCCGCCGCAGCCACACGCUCCGCUACGAUCGGCACCACCGCAGGGGGCGCAGGGUGCACGGCCUCCAUAGGCGCCGCCGCCGCCGCCUGCUGCCGCUCCAAGGCCUCCUGGAGCCUCUAGAUUUGCUCCCCUUGGCGCUGAACGGACUCCGCUUGUUGCCGCACUACGCCAAUAAGUGCGGCCAUUUGCUCCCGAAGCUCCCCGUCGCCACAUGCUCCGGGUUGCGCGGGAGCCGCGCUUGGCUCCUCGGCCAUAGACCUCGUCCGCGGUCGACCACGAGGCAACUUACGUCGUCCAUGAGAUGGCAUUGCUCCCUGAAAUGAAGCAAUUCACGUUAAUUACUUGACAAAUAUAUAUACGAACGCACCCAAUCCGGCGAAAGCAACAAGUGUAUUUAUUUUUCCUUCCAAAGCAUCAUGUCGUCGGCCGCCAAUCACAACACAAGGAAAAAAAAAAUAACAACUUAAAUUUAGUCUCUAACCACAUUAGCGACAUGCUAACAUUAACCCAAUCAUAAGCUUUCGGUAUAUUUCAAUUCCACGCCACUCACGUUUCCUAGAUCCUUAAGGUUUUCCAUUCCCAAGGGUCCCUAGGUCCAUCUACACUUUCACUUUAGACACUUUACCCUCUGAUACCAUUAUAUCUGUCACGCCCCAAACCCGGUCCUAUUUGGCCGGUUCGGACCCGUCGAAAAGACGCCGAACGGACAGAGCCUCCCCUAUCCGUCCAAGGCUCCACAACAAGUAUCAAUAGAGUGUAAAAUUUGCAUAAGCGGAAGCAUACACAAUGGCUUGCACGAGAGCAAGUAAUAGCCAAAGUGAAAGUACGGUCUACUCGACAUACAAGUAAUAUGAUUAACUUUAAAUCACAUACAUGCAUACGACUUUAAUUAAAUUCUUUACAUUCCUUGCAUCAUUUCUUUUUAUAUCACAUGAUCUUAAUACAAUUACCUUAAACAUCUAUAAUCAUCAAACACAAAAGAGGAUAAAAUGGGGUAUGCAACUACAAAAUGUAAAAAUAUCUCGGGCGGUCUCUGUCUAGGGUGCGAUACGGUUACCGCGAUCGCCCGCCGGCUUGCUCGGCCCUGGCUCUGUGGAAAUAGUGGGGAGAGAACUACAACGAAGUUCCCAGUGGGUUCGGCCCCGAUCUCGUCGACUUUCCCACUAGGUCUAAAUCAGGCAUAAUAGAAGAAAGAAUAGAUAAUAACCAACUAACAAAUGCAGCUAAUAUGCCUGAACAAUAAACAAUGGUAUGCACGAUAGAAUGCUCAUGAUGAAUGCAAGAUUACAUUUUCAUUGCCCAAUCUCAUGGCUAGCCCGUGGGUUUCGCCCUCAGCAAACUCACCAAUUCUAAAUCCGAGUAUCGAGGAGAAACUCCUACGACCCGACAGGACCGUCCUCUGGGGAGAAACUCCUACGACCCAGUGAUGACUACUCCGGAGCUCAUCGCCCAAGAGGGAGCUACUACCCUUCGAGCAAGGACUAACAGGCGAGUAUGAUCCAAUCCUUAACUUUAAGAAUUUCGAAUUAAAUCAAUUCCUUGACUUCAAAGAAGCAAUACUCAUAUGUUGCUAUCUCUAUUUACUUUCAUUCCUUACUUAUAGUAGUGUCAUGUACACUACUUUAUUCUUGUACUCUCAUUGAUGCCACACUUGUUUUCUAAGUGUUCAUAUCACGCCCCGGGACUGGCGGAGGCCUUUCCGAUAGCGCGCCCAGACCCGCCAUAUGCCUACACAUAUAAGGCGUCUACAACAAAAGCGAAAAAAUAAGAUAAGAGAUGAACUACAUCUAGAGAUAUCAGAACAAGUAUACAUCUAGAAUCUAUAGUAGGUAGAACACAACUAAACAAUAAAAGUAAAGCAUAAAGUUAUACAGUAUCCAUCUCAAAAGUACAAAAAGGGGUGGUCUCUACAAAUGGUACAAAUCUCACAACCUCUCCAAAAAAAAAAAAGAGAGGUGGACCCCCUAUCCAAUAAUCCCUCGCUAGCUAGCCCAAGGCGAUUCCUUUCCCGCGAUCCCGAGCCUCUCCCGGAGUGGAAGGCUCUGAAAGAAAAUAUAAAACAGGGGGCGUGAGAACUAUAAUUUAUAGUUCCCAGUGGGCAAUUACUGACCUUAGCAAAAUACACCACUAGGCCCAAGUUAUGAGCAGAUAUAGAAAAUGAAAUAACAACUGCGGAAAUAAAAGAAUAUAAUGAAAUGCUAUAAUACUAUGCCACAAGUAUACAUGAUAUGAACAUGGAGUACAUCUACUCUAUCAUGAAUCCAAUAUGCCGAUACAUAAUAAGUAUGCUCUAUCAUGGCUACCAAGUAAGCUGUAAUGCAACAGGUAAUACUAUCAAGUAUACAAUAUGUCCCAAAACUCAAUACAUAUCUAGUAUGUACUAUCAUGGCAACUAAGGGUACCACAAAUCCCAAUGUCAGCUAAAUCCAACUACGAUAUACUAUCAAGUAGUGAUUGUCAUUUAAUUGAUUAAGGUUCAUCAUUCAAUCUCAUCCAGGACCAACACAUGUGUAGUCCAACUUGUGCCGCCUAGCUCCCGGUGGUAGCUCCAACAUCCCCGCUCGAGGAAUGAGACUGUCCCACCCGACCCUAUAGGCGCCUCGCCGCCUAGCUGCCCGUGGUAACUCGUCAUCCCACUCUGGAAUGAGACUGUCCCACGCGACCCUACAGGCGUCUCAAUCCCGCACGCACGAACUGCGUCGCAAAAGGCCAACUCCGGAGUGCCGGCUUGUAGGGAGCAACCCUCACAAGCAUGUGCAAAUGAGCACAAAUGGCAAGUAAUCAUAAUCAUCAUAUCAUGGAUCUCGUCAUCAUGUCUCUCACAUGGAAUAGCAACUCAACAGUCAUCAUGUCUCUAACAUGGAAAUGCUCACUAGUAACCCCAAAGGUCUAGUCUAUGCCUAAAGUGAAUGUUGACUAAGUUCACUAUAUCCAAUGCCUCUUUAUGGCAUUAUCUCACUAUGCCCCAAAACCAUCCCAAGCCUAAUGCCGCUUUAUGACAUUAGCUUACCAAGUCCAAUCUCUAGUCCGAGCCUAAUGCCGCUUUAUGACAUUAGCUUACUACUUACAUACACUCUAACCUAUGUCACUUAAUGACAAUAUGUGGAACCAUGCCAGGCAUGCGUUCCAACCUAUAUGUCAUAUGCACUACAUGCAACAUGAUCUCAAUCAAAUGUAAGAAUGCUAACCAUAUGCAAGGUUUCAAAUAUGAACAGUUCUCUUCUACAUAGAGGUCCAAUGUACUUUAUACAUAACAUGCACAUAUUAAGUAUUCUAAAAUUCUCAAAUAUUCUAUCUAGUAAGAAUAUGCAUGCAUUUUUAUUUUACGAAAAGUAAAACCUAUUAGAGGGAUGAUUUAUCUCAUUUUGGUGAGGCCAAACCCACCGAGAGUUCCACACGGCCUUAGUUUUGCCGAAAGAAGGUGCCCACAAGCCUCCUAACUCCCUAGAGCUUAAAUUAGGAGUGUCACAUGCAUCGAACGAACAAUGACAAGUUCAAACAUUAACCAUCUCAAGAUAAGGGCAAAAUUGCACCUAAGUAUAGAAAAUCCCUUUCAAGCUCCAAAUGGGAGCUAGAACCCUUCCAAACCAAGCUAGAGAAAGGUUCUAAUUCAAUCAAUUGAGCUCCAAAAGCCCUAGAUCAAAAAUCUCCAAAUCAAACCUAAAUCCUCAUUUUUUAGUGUUUUAUACAAACAUCAUGAAAAUCAUGAUAAAAAAAGAAAUAGAAAGCAACUAGCCUCUCAUGAAGCCCCAAACAAGGUUCAAAACCCACUAGGGUUGAAGAUCACCUCCCUCACAAGCUCAACUCCAAGCGCCCAAGCUUCUCCUAUGGUGGAAAAGUCACCAAAAAGCGAAAAGAGAACAAAAGAGGGAAUUAAACCUAAAAAAUCUCAACCAAAAGAAAAAAAAAGAAUGAGGGGAAGAGGAGAGCUCCCUCACCUUCUUCUCCACUGCUGGCAAGCCCAGGAAACACCAAGGGGCAUGGGGUACACAUAUAGUGUUGCUACAAUAGCAAAAAUACCCCUGCAGUUCAAGCAGUCUGCGGACUGCACUGCGUACCAGUACACAGGGUUGCGUACCGGUACACACCCCACGAAAAUGCCAAACCCGAGCCUCGGGUUGGCUGAGAAGCUGCCCGUGUACCGGUACACGGCCCCGCGUACCGGUACAACCAUCACCCCGUACCGGUACAGCCAUCAACCCUAUACCGGUACACAGCCUGCUGAAGGCUACCCGAGAGCACACCAAUAAUCCAACUUUUUGGAUUUUGGUGCAAAGUUUUAAACAACAAAUCUCAGAAUACGAGCCAUUGGUCGGAACACUGUCGACGACCCUCCAGAAUAUCUGGAAAAACUCGGAACACAGAUUAAACACUCGAACCUUGCCAUUUGCGAAAGUCCAGCGUGUUACAUUCUCCCCUCCUAAAAAGGAGUUUCGUCUGGAAAACUGCGGGUCAACCACAUAACAAACCCAUCCGAAGAGGAUGGAAGAAGCGCUCCAGCAGCGCCCCAAACAGACCUUGGAGGUCUCAAGUGUGCCGGAAAACUCCAAGGCACAAACACAACAAGAUCUCGCGACGUUAAGGCUUGGCAUAACACAACCGAAACUUCCGCAAAAGCUUCUUGAACUCAAGUCUUCACCGGAAGUUUCAUCUCCAAUCCGCACUUGUUCAACGAGUCCAUCAGUUGGUCCUCACGAACUCAAGUGUUUCCAAAAGCUGAAUUCGAAUUCUCACCUUUCUCGUCCAAGCCGAGGGUAGAGCCUUACUCUGCUUCAAUUACUCUAGUAUAUAGGAUUCCAUCCAAAUACCCCUCAAGGUGGAUUCAAUGGUACUGUCCAAAGCAAGCGUCAGGGGGUUAAAUCCAUUACUCAUCUAUCAAAACACCAUCGGAGUGCUCAUCUGAUCAACACUCACCAAGGAGAGGUGAUACAACAUCCGCUCAUCAGCUCAUAUUCCAACGAUGAUCCUUCAAAUCCAAGAUCAAGUCUCUUCUCGAGAUGGCACAACUGAGUGCAAUUCAAUCCAAGGUUAAGUAUGGUGCACCCCUUCCAUCUCGUUGCUAUUUGCAACGUCCAUCCAUCCGUCCAAUCUUGCUUGGCACGAACGAUUCUAAACCAACAUCCAAGAUAGCCAACCUUCCAGUAGUAAUAGAAACCGACGAAUCGUCUAACUCGCUCACCAAAGGUGAUCACUUGAUUCCUCAAUCGGCACGGCACUACGAUGCCUCCACAUCAAUCUCAAACUCACCACCCGGGAGUACCCUCAAAUCCUCUGCAAUACAUGGUCAGGGACCAAAGCUCAAAAGCUUCGUCAUUCCACUAAGAUCAUCAUCUUAGUCUCAACUCAAGUCCAAGUAAACUCUUCGCAAGCCUAAGCCAAAGGCUCAACUUNCCGGGAGUACCCUCAAAUCCUCUGCAAUACAUGGUCAGGGACCAAAGCUCAGGAGCUUCGUCAUUCCACUAAGAUCAUCAUCUUAGUCUCAACUCAAGUCCAAGUAAACUCUUCGCAAGCCUAAGCCAAAAGGCUUAACUUUGAUAGAAUGUCUCAUACAUUAAUCAUUCAGUUGCUCCAUAAGAAUCAUUCAAAAAUUCUCAUCCUCAAUGCUUUCCUUAGCAUCGGAUGCUCCAGGUGUUCCUAGUCACCGAGCCCAUCUCAAGUGAUAGAGAUGGAUCAAUCCGCAAUUCAAUAAUUGCUCUCUAUCAAUGUCAUCCUAAUGUGACCAUCAACCAAAAAUAUCAAUCCAAACAACUCUCUCACGCAGUUCCAUCCCCCAAAAUUUGAUUCCUGGUGCAUAAACCGGGCAAGGAAAAAUAGCAGCUUGGUAUCUUUCUUUCUCGAGUUUCCCAACCACUCGAUCCAACAGUGAGAGUUUCACACAUCGAUCACGACAAUCUGCCCUGCAGUCGGUCCUCGCAAUCCUUCGUAGGAAUACUCACUGCUAUCCGCGACCGGUUCCACAAAUCAAUCCAAAGGGCUUGGAAUUAUCAUUCCACAAGUCCCUAACACUGGUAGAGUACUACAGGCUUAGGCAACAUUAUCCUCGUGAUGUCCCCACCUAGCAUCACAAUCCGUUUUGAGGUACGACCUCAAACUCUAACAUCAAACAGUACUACUCAGAUUACUUACAACCUUAUCGAGUACACCAACAACUCGAGGCCAUUUGACAAGGUCAAUGAGCCUCAGCACGGUCCAAACAUUCAAUCGUGGUUCAAUUUGAAUCACGAUAGUCGACACAUAGUCGAAACGGCCCAACCGGUCCCACAACAAGUGAGAGUGCUCCUCCGCGAAGCAAAACACUAACUAUAAAACCUCCCCGCCAAUCGAGUUCACGGUUUGUGACUUGGUCGGGGACACAAUGACAGAUCAAAGACAUCCUUCAUUCCGAGGAUCCUUGAUCACCAGAAAGUAAUGGCCAAUUAGGCCCCAAGUCCUCUCUAACACUUACCCAAUUUUAGGUAAGGGAGACAGUCAACGCAACUAGUGGAAAUAAAUCCUCAAAUCGCACUAUUUCGUGCUCAAAAUUCUCGAAACGAGUCAAGUCAGCUCGCAAUACCAAAGGUACCAAGUACCCACAAUCGCCACACCAAGUAAGGCCAAUCUAUUUGUUGGAGCACAAAAUCCUCUCACAGGGUAGGGUGUUCAAAACGACACACCCGGUUAUCCGAUCAUCCUACGUGCAUCGAAAAUGAUCAAUGCAAACAAAUUCUCGGGUCGGGUCACUACACACUCGGUGUAUCCUCGAUCUCACGGUCUAACAAGUGGCAUACCACGCUCCCGGGUCUAAGCUCGGACUACCGUUCUGACCAAAACUCUGCCCUACCCUUAGGUACCGGGCUACUGUCGUACACAGUUGAUUGCGCUUGCCCAAAGGGCCCAGGCUCCACAGUCCACAAACGGUCCAGGCACGGGACGUCCCGAAGCUCCAACCGGCAAACAGCCGACCAAAGGAUGCAAACAAUGCAAUCGUCGUGAGAUCCACAAAGCAUAAAAAAACAUGCUACCCGCAACCCGCAAAUCAACCUCCUAGCUCAAGAGGAGCUACUCGUCGUCGCAAACAGCGAACCAACGGAAUGCCAUGCAAUUCGACAAAUAGCCGAUCAAAGAAUAGAUGCAAUGCACUGGUAUAAAACAAUGCACAAAUGGAAUGCCACAAAACAGCUGUAGCCACAAGGUCGGCUGCUGCCGUCUCCACGGUUUCGGCCGCAUACAUGCGCCCGAUCGGGGCCGGCCGCGACCCCUCCGUCUGUCUCUGGACAGGUGGCCUCCCGGCCUGAUAGUGAGCAGAAGGCGUCCCCUGGCUGGGACCCGGUAAAGCUGGUGCCGAUGCUGAAGAUGGCGCUGGUGCUGAGCCCUUCGGGCAGUCCGACCGGAAGUGACCCUCCUGGCCACACGAGUAGCACCUGCCCCGUCCUUGCGAACACUGUCGUGGGUAGUGACGACCACCGCAGAUCACGCAGCUCAGAGUCUGACGACGCUCAGGUCCUCCCUGCUGUGCAGAUGUGCCCCAUCCUCGCGACUGGCUCCUAUUCCUAGGAUGUCUCGGCGGCCUCUAAGAGUGUGUCUGACUUGCACCCUCAGCCGCGGGCCGUUAGCCCUUUCCUUUGUCCGAGCCAUCUCGACGCUCCAGCAAGUCCGCCGCGCCGCUCUCCACGAUGAGCGCACGGUUCNUCUCAAGUGAUAGAGAGGAAUCAAUCCGCAAUUCAAUAAUAGCUCUCUAUCAAGGUCAUCCUGAUGCGACUGUCCAGCCAAAGUCAAUCCUAUAAGUCCUCAUAUGCAGUUCUAUCCCGAAGAACUCAAUUCCUUGCACACGCUCCUGACAAGGGGAAUUAGUAACUUGGUACCUUCCCUCUCGCGAGUUUUUCAUCCAUCAGUGAGAGUUCCCCAACUCGAUCACGACAAUCUGCCUCUGCAGUCGAUUCUCGUAAUCUUCAUCGAAAUACUCACGGCUAUCCGCGACGGUUCCACAAAUCCAUCCAAAGGGCUUUGAAUUAUCAUUCCAUAAGUCCCUAACACUGGUGGAGUACCACAGGCUCAGGCAACAUCACAAUAAUUCUCGUGAUGUUCCAACCCAGCAUCAAAAUCUGUUUGAGGUACAGCCUCAAACUCCAACGCAAAUAGGAGUACUUAGAUUGCAUAACAAUCCUAUCGAGCACACCGACAACACUAGGCCAAUUGAAAGAUCAACGUGCCUCAACAGCUAUCCGAACGUUAAUCGUGAUUCACUUUAGACCACUAUAGUCGACAUACAGUCAGAAUGACCUAUCUGGUCCCACAACAAGUGAGAGUGCUUCUCCACGAAGCAAAACACUAGAUACUAGAAUCUCUCCGCCAAUCGAGCUUACUAUUUGUGGCUCGGUCGGGGGCACAACCACAGAUCAAAGACAUCCUUCAUUCCGAGGAUUCUCGAUCACUAGAAACUAAUGGCCAAUUAGGCCCCAAAUCCUCUCCAACACUUACCGAAUUUUAGGUAAGGGAGACAGUCAACGCAACUAGUGGAAAUAAAUCCUCAAAUCGCACUAUUUCGUGCUCAAAAUCCUCGAAGCAAGUCAAGUCAGCUCGCAAUCCAAGGGUACAAAGUACCCACAAUAACUCCACACCAAGUAAGGCCAAUCCAUUUGUUGGCGCACACAACCUCCUCACAAGGUAGGGUGUUCGAAACGACACACCCGAUCACCUGAUCAUCUCACAUGCAUCGGAAGGAACAACACUAGCAAAUCCUCGGGUUGGGUCACUACACACUCGAUGUAUCCUCGAUCUCACGAUCCAUCACGUGGCAUUCUACGCUCAAGGGUCUAAGCUUGGACUACCGUCCUGACCAAAACUCUGCCCUACCCGUAGGUACCGGGCCGCUGUCACACACAGCUGACUGCGCCUGCCCAAAGGGCCCAGGCUCCACAGUCUAUAAACGGUCCAGGCACAGUAGUCUCCAAGCACUAUCCGGCGAACGUCCGAUCAAGAGAUGCAACUAAUGCAAUCAUCGUGAAAUUCACAAAGCAUAGGAAAACAUGCCACCCACAACCCGCAAAUCAACCGCCUAGCUCAAGAGAGCUGAAAGUCAUUGCAAACAGCGAACUCUGGCAUCCUCGGUACACAACCUCCUCCUGUCCCAAAUAGGGCAACAGGGGCAGACUCUCUAAUGUCUAAGGAGUAGUCGGAGAAACACGCAUCUCGGAUGCAACAGGUCUAAUAGGAUGCCAUGCAACUCGGCAAACAGCCGAUCGAGGGAUGCAAAUAAUGCAAGGAUAUCCAACAAUGCACAAUUCGGAUGUCACAAAACAAUUGAUACUUGUAGCCACCAAUUCGGCUGCUACCGCCUCCGCGGUCUGGGCCGCAUACAUGCGUCGCUCGGGGCCUGCCGUGACCCCUCCAUCUAUCUCGGGACAGGUGGCCUCCCGGCCUGAUAGUGAGCAGAAGGCGUCCCUUGGCUGGGACCCGGUAAUGCUGGUGCUGAUGCUGAAGAUGGCGCUGGUACUGAACCGCUCGGGCAGUCUGACUGAAAGUGACCCUCCUGGCCACAUGAGUAACACCUGCCCUGCCUCUGCGAGCAUUGCCGUGGGUAAUGACGACCACCGCAGAUCACACAGCUCAGAGUCUGACGACGCUCAGAUCCUCCCUGCUGUACAGAUGUGCCCCGUCCUCGAGACCAGCUCCUAUUCCUGGGAUGUUUUGGCGGCCUCCCAGAGUGCGUCUGACUCGCACCCUCGAUCGUGGGCCUUUUGCCCUUUCCUUUUUCCAAGCCUUCUCGGCGCUCCUGCAAGUCUGCCGCGCCGCUCUCCACAAUGAGCGCGCGAUUCACCACCUCCCGGUAGGUUUGGAGGUUGGAAGACUGAACAAACCGGAAGAUCGAAGACCGCAAUCCCCGCUCAAAGAUGCGGGCCUUAUCCUCGUCGUCCCGAACAACGAAGGGCACACAAUGUAGAAGCCAGGAGAACUCCCUCUCAUACUCGGCCACUGUCCUGUCCCCCUGGCGCACGUUGCGCAGAUCCUGCUCCAUCUUUCUCUUGACGCUGUCAGGGAAGUAAUGCUCCAGUAGGAGUUCCUUGAACCUCCUCCAUAUGAUCGCCGUAAGAUCUAUGCGGGGGUCGUCCUGAAUGUCCAUCCACCAUCGGUAGGCCUCGCCGUCAAGGUGAGGUGUCGCGAGCCACACUCUGUCCCGCUCUUCAACAAAGGUAUCCCGAAACAGCUUCUCUAUAUGCAUAAGCCAUUUCUCCAUGAUCCAAUGGUCCACGUUCUCCCCGUCGAAGGUCCGUUGACUGCAUCUCCUGAACUCACUGAGACGUUCCAUAAGUCGAUCGCGCACCGCUCCCUCGACCAUCACGGAAAAAACUGCCCCCGCUACAGGUACUCGAGCCGAUGGUGCCACAACGUCCUUCUCCCGAGGCGCCGCCGCUGGUGCCGUCCGAGAGGUGUCGAGUGCAGGGAAUGACACCCUGGGCGCAACCGCCUCUACCGGUGCGGGUGAUGUAGGGACCCGAGUCUCCCCGGUAGCAGCCUGCUGCAACAAAAGAUCCUCCAGGUGCUUCAUCCGCGUCUCCUGUCGAAGUGCCGUGUCCGCCUCUUGCGUCACCAAAUCAGUGAGGGCUGCCAGCUGGCCCCUCAACUCACGAAAUUCGCCGGAUCCGGAGGUAGCAGAUGUCUCCGCCUUCUCAAAGGUUGUCGCAUUGUCCGCUCCAACAGACUUAGAGCGUGUAGUAGGCAUCGACACUACAACAUCAUAAAAGCGCAAAUUAAUAAAACUCACGCUAUCAAAUCCCUGCUCAAAUAGACCAAACCCAAAUCAUGCGAAAGUAAGGAAGUGUUAUCCACAACUAACUCCCGAUGUUACAUUGUCGGCCGUCAACGUAACCCUCCGCGAAGUUAGAAGCCAUACACUCUGAUCAACUCCAACUUCUUAUAGUUAUCAUAAAACCCAAUCAUAAUAUUUUCGCUUACAAGUCAAAUAGACCUCGUCUCUCACGAGCCUAUUUUCUAUAGUCCAACCGGCCUAAGGUUUUCUAGGUCCAUUAAGACUGAACCCUAGGCUCUGAUACCAAAUUAAUCUGUCACGCCCCGGGACCGCGGAGGCCUUCCCGGUAGGGCGCCCAGACCCGCCAUAUGCCUACACAUAUAAGGUGUCUACAACAAAAGCGGAAAAAUAAGAUAAGAGAUGAACUACAUCUAGAGAUAUCAGAGCAAGUAUACACCUAGAACAUAUAGUAGGUAGAACAUAACUAAACAAUAAAAGUAAAGCAUAAAGUUAUACAAUAUCCAUCUUAAAAGUACAAAAAUGGGUGGUCUCUAUAAAUGAUAAAAAUCUCUCAACCUUCCGAAAAAGAAACAAAAGAGAGGUGGACCCCCUAUCCAAUAAUCCCUCGGUAGCUAGCCUGAGGCGAUUCCUUUCCAGCGAUCCCGAGCCUCUCCCGGAGUGGAAGGCUUUGAAAAAAAACAUAAAACAGGGGGCGUGAGAACUAUAAUUUAUAGUUCCCAGUGGGCAAUUACUGACCUUAGCAAAAUGCACCACUAGGCCCAAGUCAUGAGCAGAUAUAGAAAAUGAAAUAACAACUGUGGAAAUAAAAGCAUAUAAUAAAAUACUAUACUACUAUGCCACAGGUAUACAUGAUAUGAACAUGGAGUAUAUCUACUCUAUCAUGAAUCCAAUAUGCCGAUACAUAACAAGAAUGCUCUAUCAUGGCUACCAAGUAAGCUGUGAUGCAACAAGUAAUACUAUCAAGUAUACAAUAUGUCCCAAAACUCAAUACAUAUCUAGUAUGUACUAUCAUGGCAACUAAGGGUACCACAAAUCCCAAUGUCAGCUAAAUCCAACUACGAUAUACUAUCAAGUAGUGAUUGUCAUUUAAUUGAUUAAGGUUCAUCAUUCAAUCUCAUCCAGGACCAACACAUGUGUAGUCUAACUUGUGCCGCCUAGCUGCCGGUGGUAGCUCCAACACCCCCCCUCGAGAAAUGAGACUGUCCCACCCGACCCUACAGGCGCCUCGCCGACUAGCUGCCCAUGGUAGCUCGUCAUCCCACUCUGGAAUGAGACUGUCCUACGCGACCCUACAGGCGUCUCAAUCCCGCACGCGCGAACUGCGUCGCAAAAGGCCAACUCCGGAGUGCCGGCUUGUAGGGAGCGACCCUCACAAGUAUGUGCGAAUGAGCACAAAUGGCAAGUAAUCAUAAUCAUCAUAUCACGGAUCUCGUCAUCAUGUCUCUAACAUGGAAUAGCAACUCAACAGUCAUCAUGUCUCUAACAUGGAAAUGCUCACUAGUAACCCCAAGGGUCUAGUCUAUGCCUCAAGUGAAGGUUUAAUAAGUUCACUAUGUCCAAUACCUCUUUAUGGCAUUAUCUCACUAUGCCCCAAAACCGUCUCAAGCCUAAUGCCGCUUUAUGACAUUAGCUUACCAAGUCCAAUCUCUAGUCCCAGCCUAAUGCCGCUUUAUGACAUUAGCUUACUACUUACAUACACUCUAACCUAUGUCACUUAAUGACAAUAUAUCCAACCAUGCAAGGCAUGCGUUCCAAGUCCAAGAGUGUAACCUACAUGUCAUAUGCACUACAUGCAACAUGAUCUCAAUCAAAUGUAAGAAUGCUAACCAUAUGCAAGGUUCCAAAUAUGAACAGUUCUCUACUACAUAGAGGUCCAAUGUACUUUAUACAUAACAUGCACAUAUUAAGUAUUCUAAAAUUCUCAAAUAUUCUAUCUAAUAAGAAUAUGCAUGCAUUUUCAUUUUGCGAAAAGUAAAACCCAUUAUAGGGAUGAUUUAUCCCAUUUUGGUGAGGCCAAACCCACCGAGAGUUCCACACGGCUUUCGUUUUGCCGAAAGAAGGUGCCCACAAGCCUCCUAGCUCCCUAUAGGUUAAAUUAGGAGUGUCACAUGCAUCGAACGAAUAAUGACAAGUUCAAACAUUAACCAUCUCAAGAUAAGGGCAAAAUCUCAUCUAAGUGUAGAAAAUCCCUUUCAAGCUCCAAAUGGGAGCUAGAACCCUUCCAAACCAAGCUAGAGAAAGGUUCUAAUUCAAUCAAUUGAGCUCCAAAAGCCCUAAAUCAAAAGUUUCCAAAUCAAACCCUAUAUCCUCAUUUUUUAAGGUUUUAUACAAACAUCAUGAAAAUCAUGAUCAAAUAAGAAAUAGAAAGCAACUAGUCUCUCAUGAAGCCCCAAACAAGGUUCAAAACCUACUAGGGUUGAAGAUCACCUCCCUUACAAGCUCAACUCCAAGCUCCCAAGCUUCUCCCAUGGUGGAAAAGUCACCAAAAAGCAAAAAGAGAGCAAAAGAGGGAAUUAAACCUCAAAAAGCUCAACCAAAAGAAAGAAAAAGAAAGAGGGGAAGAGGAGAGUUCCCUCACCUUCUUCUCCACUGCUGGCAAGCCCAGGAAACACCAAGGGGCGUGGGGUACACAUAUAGUGUUGCUACAAUAGCAAAAACACCCCUGCAAUUUAAGCAGUCUGCGGACUGCACUGCGUACCGGUACACGGGGUCGCGUACCGGUACACACCCCACGAAAAUACCAAACCCGAGCCUCGGGUUGGCUGAGAGGCUGCCCGUGUACCGGUACACGGCCUUGCGUACCGGUACAACCAUCACCCUGUACCGGUAUAGCCAUCAACCCUGUACCGGUACACAGCCUGCUGAAGGCUACCCGAGAGCACACCAAUAAUCCAACUUUUUGUGUUUUGGUGCAAAGUUUUAAACCACAAAUCUCGGGAUACGAGCCAUAGGUCGGAACACUGUCGACGACCCUCCAGAAUAUCUGAAAAAACUCGGAACACAGAUCAAACACUCGAACCUUGCCAUUUGCGAAAGUCCAGUGUGUUACAGUUCAUUUCUAGCAUUCUUAUCAUUUACUAAUGCCACACACUCUAGUAUUCAUUUGCAUACCUGACACCUACUAAUGCCACCCAAUCCAUAUGUCAUUACGUCAUUUUGAUUCUUUACCUCCUCUAGGUUCUUAUCACAUUUUAUGCAUACAUAGGGUUCUCAUAAUCUUAGUCUUUUACUAUUCUUUCACAUGCAUUUAUACUCGUAACAUAGAAGAAAAUACUUUCAAAUAACCCUACUAUGCUCAAUGCUCUCAAAUAAAUGACAGUUUAGACAUAAGAGAAAGUUCGAUGACUUCGGAAAGCACCACCCACCUUCGAUGGUUGAGAGGAUGCUACGGUUCAAUUCUCGAGAUUUUAGGGCGUCUACUCUCACGCCUGCGGCAAAACAAAGCCAAAUUAGGCUUUUUCUCAAUAACUUUAUCUAGACCUUUUCGUAACGUCAAACGGAGUUGUCCCACGCGUCGAAAAUAUCCCUAAUUAGGUUUCUAUAAGGUUAAUUUGUCUUAGAAACUCCCUAGGACAAAAACUCUAAAUUUGGUGCCCUAAUGUCGCCAUUUGUAAAAUCUUAGGUUUCGAUCUCGAAAACAAGCAAAAGAGAGCUUGCCUAACCUCUAGAAGUUCAUUUAGAACCAUCCAAACCAUUUCUAGGGCAUAUAAAGUAAUCCCUAGAAAUCCACCAUUAGAGCACUUUGAAGAAACUAGGGUUUCAUGUGUUCUAUAGCUCCAACUAUAUUUCUAUACUCAUUAGAAGAUCAAAACCUAGUUUUCUAGGACAUAAACCCAAACCCUAGCCUAGGUUUUCAUGAAAACCUCACCUUGGUCCAAAGCUCGCCAAGAUCCUUCUUGUUGGAGAGAUCCGAAACCCUCAAAAUCUCCAAAUCCGCCUUCAAAAGCCUCCUCUACUCCUUCUCCUUGCUCUUUGGGGAGAGUUCUAGAGAGAGAAAGAGAGAAAUGAGAGGGAGGGUGUAAAUGGCUGUGGGAGAGAGAGGGGAGAGGUGUUAGGUUAUUAACAUGUUGUAACAAUUACAACAAAACCCUCCAAACAAUUGUAUUUGCAGCAGUUUCAUUUUGCUGUCUGACCCAAAGUAUACCGGUACACGGGAUUUUGUACCGGUACAUUUCCUGCGCAGAGGCAACCCGAGAGCAAGUUUCUCGGUUUCGUAGCAUUUGUACCGGUACACUUUCAAAGUGUACCGGUACACUUCUAUUUUUUUUUUCUCAAACCCGAGAACUAUUUCUUCUCGGUUUGCAGGGCUGUACCGGUGACAACUCGAUGGUUGUACCGGUACACUUUGCCCAGAAUGCUAUAUUUGCGCCGUUUUCAAUUCUAUGUCGCGUCGGUCGAUGCUAAAACCUUUCUAACACCUUUUAACUCAUUUUUAACCCUUCCAAUAUUGUUGUAAUGCCAACUGGAGUUUGUCCAUCUAUUUCUCUCAGCACUUUAAUCCAUUUUGGCUAAAGUUCGAUGAUCUCUAUCGGGGUUUCGAUACGUUACAGUAAACACGUGUCAUUUGCAGUAUCAAUUCAGCACUUUAAUUCUGUUUUAAAUGGGCCAUUUUAUUAAGAUUUUUAGUUAUUUUUUAAUGGGAACAUGUUGAGAUAGUACACACAGAAUAAAAUGCAAGAGGAAUUUCAAUAAUUAAGUGUAUAUUUAUUUUUAAAAAAAUAUUAUGCUUAUAGUAAAUGUUUACACUCAUACAAACUAUUAAAGGUUUAAGUUAGGAUAUUAUAAAUUGGUCAAAUAUUGGUAUGAUUAUGUUUGUUUACAAAUUUUAUAUUUUGUUUAAGUUAGGAUGGCGCGUAGUAAUGUGGCUAUUGUUGUUCAUUGGAAUAGAGAAAUAUUUGCGCAUGAUAACAAUACAAAGUACGUUGGCGGUCGUAAGAAAUUAAGUGGUAUUUCAGUGGAUAUUACAUUUAUAGAAUUCGAGAGAAAAAUAUAUAGAUUAACCGAUACUCCGAGAGAUGAGUAUCGUCUAAUUAUCAAAGUCCGAUAUUCGACCGGGAUAAAUCAAUUCGAUGUGCUUGAAAUUACGGACGAUGACUCAUUUUGUGGUGCGAUGGCAUUGUCGGGAAACCCUCCGUGUUUGAUAAUUUUCGUUGAAAAAUAGAUGAUUUUAUCUCAGGGGUAUUAUUCUAGAAUGUUAAACAGUGACUUUAAUGUGAAUGUAUUAUCCCCUGACCCCGAAAGAGAACAUUAUCGUGCUGAUAUCGGAGGAGAAGCAAAUGCACCUACGUUAGUAUUGCAAAAUACGAAUUUUGUAUAAUUAUUUUAAUAUAACAAAUAUUUAUAUUGCCUUCUUCCAUCAUUUGUAGAGAGUACGAAUUUUCAAAUAUAGUUGUUUGUGAUCCUCCUCCCCUCCCGCAUACUAUUCAUCAUGCCACGGCUUCUAGUUCUCAUGCCCCACUGGGUAGAGAGCAAGGCGUCUCAUGUGAAGAAGGGUUAAAAUACGCUAGAAUUAAUUUAAUCAUUCACUGUUUUAUUUAGUUAGAAAGUAACUAAUUACGAAAUAAUUGCAGAUUUCAUACCUCUCAUGAUAUGCAUGACUUUGGAUCGUAUCCAAUGGGAACCAAAAAUGACGGUAUAGGAAAUCGAGCGGAAGUGCAACAAGUAGUAGCUGAAGAUGGUUACGCUACUGAUCAUGAGGGUGUUGAACAUGAACCUUCAAAUUUGGUCGUAAAUGAGAACAUUGUGGUGGAAGGUGAUCACUAUGAUGCAGAUCAUGAUGGCGGACUGGGGGUCCUCGCAUAUAUCAUAUAUACUGAGGGUGGUGAUCUAAUUGUCAAUACUGAAUAUGUUGAUGAUCUAGAUGAAGGUGCAGAGUUCAUAGAUCAUCAAGAGCAAUUUGUGGGAGAUGACAAUUGGAUUGACCAGUAUGUGGUCGAUAACGGUGAAUUUGAUCAUCCGCAAAUUAAACAGCCCCCUCCUACCAUUGAUGACUUAUGGUUGGUCGGGUAUUUCGUGAUAAAUCAAGUUUAUUGCACACUCUUGGGGAGUGGUAUAUUGCUCACAGCGUGCAAAUGAAAGUAAUAAAGUCGACGACAAAGGCGUAUACAGUUAAAUGCAUGGUAGAUUCAUGUCAUUGGAGAUUACAUGCAUCGGUACCAAAGGAUGUAAGUUAUUUUAGAGUUAAAACAUAUGCUUGGCAACAUACAUGUUUAGUGCCGAUGCUUAACACUGCAUAUCGAAACUGUGCUUCAUCUCUUAUAUGUCGACAUAUUCUCCCAUCAUUGAGGGUAAAGCUUAGUUUGACACCGGCGGAAAUUAAAGAAAAGGUGCGCAAUGAAUUGCUUGUAGACAUACCUUAUUCGAAAGCGUGGCAGGCUAGAAGUAAAGCACUACAGAUCAUUUAUGGUGGUUGGAAGGAGUCAUACACCGAUCUUGAUCGCUUCCUAUCUAUACUAUAGCGCGUGAAUCCCAAGACUCAAUGGCGUCUUGAUCCUAAAAUCCUGCCAAAUAGCGUUAGGCAGUUUGGACGAGAAUUUUGGGCAUUCAGGCCGUUAAUUAAUGGGUUUUCUUAUUGUCGACCAUUGUUGAGCAUUGAUGGAACUCAUAUGUAUGGAAAGUAUCAAGGGCAUGCGUUGAUUGUGACGGGUGUAGAUGCUAAUAAUGGGUUAUACCCAUUAGCGUUUGCUAUUUGUGAGGGAGAAAAUGCGGCUAGUUGGCGUUGGUUUUUACAACAUUUAAAGGUUUUAGUGACACGUGAUCGAUCUAUUUAUUUAUUUUCAGACCGCUUUCCUAGGUUAAAGGAGAUUGUUGCGGAGGAGUUUCCGAGAAGCGAGGGACAUACUCACCGUUGGUGCCUCCGCCAUAUGAAGGCUAACAUGAAAAAAGCCGGUUUCAAAAAUGAAAAUGUGCUCAAUAAAUUUUAUACAGGCAUAGAAUGUGCUGCAACUGUAAGGGAAUAUUAUGAGCAUAAGGAUCAAUUGAAAGAAAUAGAUCCGGCGGCAUGGCUUUGGGUGCACGAGCUCCAAGGGGAAAGGGAAUAUUGGGCAAGAGCUUUUGAUAAAGGGCAGCGUUUUGGGACAAUGACGACAAAUCGGUCGGAGAGUUUAAAUGGAGUGCUUAAAGGUGUAUGUGGUUUACCUAUCACAACAUUUGUGGCUGCUACAUUUUAUAAGGUGAACAAUUAUUUUGUUAAGCGCCGUGAUAAAGGUGAGACAUAAACAGGAGGCUUUAAUUAAGAGUUGUAUGAUAAUCGCAAGAGGACACCGUGUAGAUCGUUUCUGAGUAAACUAGUUUCAAAUUACUACCGGAAAUGGACAAUUUGAGGUAGUUCUUGACGGGAGAAGCUCGACUUGUUCAUGCCAUGAGUUUGAGCUCACUAGGUUGCCAUGCUCACAUCUUCUAGCUGUAUGCAGUAAUGGUCAAAUGAACAUUGACUACUAUAGUCUGUAUUCUGAAUGGUAUACAUGUGAGUAUUACCGUGGUGCUUACUUCCUGCAAUUUCACCCUGUCCCAGAAAAAAGAAGAUGGCCACGCCCUCAAGGACCACCGCUGGCACCACCACCUAUUAGGAGAAAGAAAGGCCGUCCGAGAUCAACUCGUAUUCAAAAUGCCAUAGACGAGAGAGAAGGAAUGCGAAGAACUAUGUGCUCUAUUUGUAAACAACAGGGACAUUAUACGGCUACAUGUCCGAAUAAUCAAGAUAGAACAAAUGAAGGCCGUAGACGUAGAGCUUUAGGUUGAUGACUUAUGUUGACUAUCUACAGUAUUUUUAUUUCUAGAUUUAUUUUUUAACGUUCAAUUAAUAGUCACUAAUUUGUAUACUUUAUUUUGCAGAUGGACGAUCACGAGGAUCCCCGUCUAGUUGAUCCAUCAGUUCUAUCAGAUCAAGCUAGGCAUCAGUCGAGCUAUGUGCGAUCGAUCAGAGGUAUGUUAAGUUAUGCACGUACAAAAAAGUUUGUAAUUUAAAUACUUAAAAGAGAAAUUUUCUAAAAAGUGAAUAAACUUUACAGGGGUACGCGCCAAUUCAGUUUACGAAGCAUGACCGUAAACUGAUCACAUAGACAGUCGAACAUCCGGGAGUGAUACAGUACUUACUACGUCUCCCGCCUUAGACGAGUACAGCUAGAUCAGGCUCUGUUAGGGGCGUUGAUAAAGUGAUGGAGGCGCGAGACGCAUACAUUCCACCUACGUCACGGAGAGAUGACAGUUACGCUACGUGACGUGGCCAUUCUAGCUGGACUACGAGUUUCCGGGGAGCCUGUUACAGGACGUUUUUCAUUUGAUUUGUUGCAUACAUGUGAGCUCCUUCUUGGGAUACAGCCAGACGAUGUCGUCGCCAGCCAGAUCCGCUUGAAGUGGUUGUUUCAACAUUUCCGGCAUAUUCCUUUGGAUGCUCUGGCGGCCGUGGUUGCAGCAUCUGCACGAGCAUAUAUUUUAUUUCAAAUUGGAUGCAGUUUGUUUCCUAACCCCACUGGAUAUCGCGUUCACCUCAAGUCGCUACCGCUACUUGAGGAUUUUGACUUCUGCGGAGGCCUAGCUUGGGGCGCAGCUAGCUUGGCCCAUCUCUAUCGGACAUUAGGGAAUGCCUCUAUGAAGGGAAGGGCCGAGUGUUGUGCCUUUGGUACACUACUACAGGUCAAAUCACUAUAACUUAGUUUCUUUUACUAAUUUUAUAGUUAACUCUUUUUGUUCAUGUAUAUAGACAUGAGACCAUAUACAUAUUGGACGUCCCGAUCGAGUUAGAGCUCCACCGAAUCUCCAUGAUUGUCCAUUGGGUUGUCGAUAUGCUAUGUGUUUAAAAUAUAAUAUAAUAAAAUAAUAAAUAUUGAUAUUGUAUUGAUGUAUUAUAAAAUAAUAAAAUAUACUAUUAAUUACUUCUGCAGGUAGAACAUGGGAUUGCGAUUUCGUGGAAAUGUCAGAGCGACUGACAUUGAGUUUUAUCGCGACGAGCUGGAUCAGCAGAAAGAGUCAUAAGUACGUAUAGAUUUUAUAAAUUAAAUAAAUGCACAAACAUUCUAAAAUUUUACAUUCAUUUUUUUUAAUACACUUGUACAGGUUACAUGGAUGCCCUAUACGGAGGAUGUUUUGAACCGUCUUCUUGCAUUUUGUCUUGAGGGCUCUUCAAUCUGGCGUUCGAGAACUUGUUUGAUAUGCUAUCAUAUUGUCGAGCUGCACUUACCUGAUAGAGUUCUGCGGCAAGUUGGAUUGCUGCAGCAUAUACCGGAGCCUGUAAAAGCUAUACAGAGGAUCACCUUACAGGGUAGAUCAGGCGAGGACUGGGCAGCGUUUCAUGCUCCAUAUAUUUAGCGUUGGGCAGAUCGUCUGGAGCAUAUUGCGGAGCAGAAUCCUUUCAUCGAUCCAGAUCUGAUAUGAGCUACCUCUGUGUACGUGCAGUGGUAUUGGGGGAUCACAAGGAGGUGGAUUUCUCGUCCUGUACAGCGGCCUCCACUUACUUUUCUGCCGCGUGGGAAUGUCGAGCGACUAUGGGUAAGAUUAUUUUAUUUUAUAAUUUAUUUUAAUAUGAAGAUAUUCAUUAUAUAUUAUCAUGUAUGUUUAUACAGGUGUAUGCUGUAGUGUCCCGGGGGUUUUGUAUCACAUUGGCUACAGUAUUAGCGACUGAUCGACACAUCUGGAGAGUGUCGAACUGAAUCAAAGUCAUUUUUGCACAAAAUGGAUGCAGAAACGGACUUGGCGCACUCAAAUAAGCAAAACUGGUGUUUUGCCAGUUUCUGAUUUGGGUCACCCGGAUCUUGAGUGCUGAACUGAACGGAAACUCGAAGCCAAUUCGGACCCUGUUUUCGGGUGCCCGGAAGUGGGGCCCGAAUGUUCACCUUGUGAUUAACGUUUGCUUUGACACGUGUAAGGUGGUAGGUGGGGUACGCCGGACCACGUUAAGGGCACAUCAUACCGCAGGCGAAGGAACCAAAGAAGGAGUUUUGUAUUGAUUGGGAGUUUCGGACGCCCCAAAAGUGCAGAUUUCUGUAGGGACAACAAGUUUGUACUUCUUGUUCUUAGGGUUUAUUGUACCCUUCCACCUCUCUAUAAAAGGAUGUGGUCAACCCCCUGAGAUGGUUUUUCACCUUCCUUCACAGUAAAGCCUGGAUUUUGCACCAAAGUCCCUCUAAACUCUCCAAAUUGCACAAUUCCACCUUGAGGACCGCAGUUCCAGCAGAAUUCCAGCAGCGACCUUCGGCGUUUUGGCUCGUGACGUAGGAGAAUCCGAUUGUUGCGAAACUUGGUUUGGUAGUUAGUAGACUUCUCGAAAAUUUCGUGAAGCUAAUUUGAUAGCAAUUGGUUGAGGUUAGUUUGGUUAAAUUGAUGUUUUUCUGAGCUGCUGGUGUAUUUGAGCUGAAAUUGGAGAUUUUAUGGUUUUCUUGGAUCAAAUCUUGGAGGAAGCUGGAAUUCAGACCAAAGGAUGUUGCUCCAUCAUUCUCUACUGGUUUUGGGACUUUUCUUCAUCUGAAUUGUGGAUUGGAAUGUGAGUUUGACAUUGAGGUUUUGGAAGAAUUAAGCUUAAGUGCUGAAUUUGAGUGUAUUGUUGAAACCUUGGUGUUUUGUGUUUAGAUCUUUCGAGAAGGUCGUUGCUGGUUUGAGGCUGAUCUUGGCAGAGCUUCUUCCAGCGACUUCUCGCCUUGUUGGACUCGCGCUAGAGGUGGGUUGAAGUUUACCGGAUUCUUCGGAUUUCUUCGAUCCUAUGCCUAGAUGUUGUUAGCAUGUGUUUUUUUAGCUUCAUAUAUCAUGUUAGUAGCUCGGUUCAUAGAUUUGCAUUGUUAUUAAAUGAAAUCUGAAUUGGAGCUUGAUAUGCUAGUUUUAUUAUACAUGUUGGAUUUGGAAUUGACUUAGGAGAAAACUAUAAGUUCUACACUGUUAUUUUAUGAAAACUACCAGAUUUAGCUUUAGGAGCUAUAGUUUGUUUGUAUCGCUGCAGUUUGUAGGCGGUGGAUACCCAAAAUAGUGUAGAAUGAAAUUACACUUGUGCUGGGAUGCUGAGAUUAUUUUUUACAGUAGUGUAUAUAUUGUUCCAGACUGUCGAGUGCCGUUGUGGUUGACCGUGGAUCCAGAUUCAUAUUUUUGCAUCAGAUUGUGCCAAGGGCAUAUUUUUUAUGGUUGUUAGACCAGUUAGACCCUUCUAUUUUGAUUACAGCCUGUGAGAGCCUGAUUGAGCUCGGCAGAAAUACGCUUGCAUACUCGGUUGGGUAGCGCCCACGAGUGCCACUCCGGAGUUGGACUUUGUGCUUUUGCAUUGUUGUUGGUUUGUCCUGGUUGGACUUGCUCUCCACUGACGACCCAGCGUGGUGAUAGUUAGUAUAGUUUCGGCAGGCGGGACGGGUGUAUUCAUAGUCCCUAAUGAGAUUGGGCCAGAGAUUGUAUUUUUUCUACAGAUAGUUAGUAUUAGAUCGUGAUAGUAUAGUGGCAUAUAGCUGUAGAGUGUUCCAGCUUUCCUUACUAUCCUUGAGCAUACUUCUGUAAACUUAGUGGGUGAGUCGUUGAGGUCGGUAGCGGUACCCCUUUUGUAGAACCUUCUUCUACGGCUGCUGCUACUGCUGAUCUUGAUCGUGGAAAGGGAGUCGCGAUUAGAUCCCUUCCCAUUUUGUUGCUAAUCUAGAGAUAUACCAGCUACAGGUAGUAUUGAUUUUUUUGGUUCUUAUACACACUGAUGUUAAAUCCUCACUGGAGCAAGUGUUUUUGUAUAUGGAGACUAUGUAUGUAUGUUGAAUCGAUGUUAUUUAUAUAUAUUUUCCUGUUUAACAGCUCUAUACUACUGGUUGUAGUAUUGUAUCUUUACAGGUACAUCUACAGCUAUCGCUUCGUAUACAGGAAAAAUUUCUGUGUAUACGGCGAGUCUGUUAGCGUGCCCGGGGAAAUGAGUAAUCCGGGGCGUGACAUAUACUAUGCGGCAUGCUGUUAGCAGUAUUAGUCAUUUGAUGGAUGAUCCUCCGGAUGCUACUAGAAUGAUGGAUGCUCUAGCACAUGUGAUGUGGGAUCUCGAGAGUGUGUUAGAGAGCCUUCCGACAAUACCCGUGACAGGGCAUCCGGAUGUUUCUUCUCCGACUUUUGGUGAUUACAGUGAUAUUCUCUCCACCUCCACGCCUGCAAAUGAUUUCGGUGAUAUUCCCUCCACCUCCGCACCUGCAUAUGAUUUCGGUGAUAUUCCCUCCACCUCGAUGCCUCCAUCGACAUCCGUCCCAAUUCAUCCAUCUGAUGUCCUUUCGAUUUCUGAUGUCCCUUCGACAUCGGAAGUGCAGUUUGAUAUUCCAUCGGCAUCCAUCCCUCCAUUUGAUAUUCUAUCUACGUCAAAGGUAUUCUAUUUUGAUAUUCCAUUCACGUCUAUUCAUCUUUCUAACGUUCCAUCCAUGUCGCAGGUUCGUCACGAUGAUGUUGUAUAUCGACGUAGACGACGACGACAGGGUCAUAUUGAGACGCAGGAAGGGAUACUACCAUCAGCUGUUGAGCAAAGGAUGGAGCCGAUUGUCGAGGGCAUCGCCAUCGAGCAUAUUGAUCUGAUGCAUGUCAUUGAGCCCAUGCAGCUUGAGAUGGAGCAUGACAUACAUAUUCGAGGACGAAGUCGAGGACGCGGUCGUGGACGCGGACGUGGACGUGACAGGGGACGAGGGCGAGAGCAUAGGAGAGGGAUGGAGGGGACUUGAUUUUUUUUUUAUCAUUUUUGGGAUUCUUAUGUAUAUUUGAUAUUUCAGAUCUUUCUACAUUGAUUUUUUAUAGUAUUAUUUAAAUUUAUUCAUAUUGAAAUGUGUUGAUAUUGGUAUAGCUCAUUUUAUAUGCUUAAAGUGUGGCUGAAGUUGGUAUAGAUGAUUUUAUGUAUUUAUUGCUGUAAUUGAAAUGCUUGAGAAUAUUGCUAUUUUGUAUAAUGUGGGAAUUUUGCAAAGUUGUUACUGCUUGGUGUGGCAUUACUUAAAUACGGUGAACCAUUUAUCGCAUAAAAAUGCAGUGAAUGGCUCACCGCUUUUAUAUGCGGUGAACAAUUCACCGCAUUUAUGAGUUUUCUCGACAGGUAGGGGAACAACAUAAAGGCGAUGAAUGGUUCACCACCUUCAUAGGAUUUUUAAAUCCUUAUGAAAGCGGUGAACCAUUCACCGCUUUCAAGUGAAAGCGGUAAAUGGUUCACCGCUUUUAUCCUCUCCCGCCAGCUCACUGCCCACAUGGCAGUUUUGAGCCUAUUUUCGCAAAUACAAAUUUUAGAGGCCUAUUUUUAAAAUAAAAGAGUUGGAGGAGACUAGUUGGGUAAAAAUCCAUAUAAAAACACCAAGCACUUUGUGCUUGUAAGUUUUCUGCCAUUAGAUCCAUCCUUUUGACUAUUUCCACCCAUUAGAUUAUACUAUUCAACCAACCACCCGCUCAACUCUAGGAGACUUUUAUCAUCUUAACCAUACAUCCCUUAAUUCAAGGGCCAAAAAUAUCGAAAAAUUACAAAAUUUAUUUUCUAGGUAUUUUAAAUAUUCUAGAUCAAUUCCAACGGAGCCGAUUGUCGAUUCGAAAGUCCCAACAUCGAAAACAAUUUGGAAGCACAAAAUGCUCCAUACUUCUAAAAGCAUACUAACCUUACUCCCUAUAUAUAUGAUUUAGUAAAUAGUUUUAUGUAAAUGUGUAAAAAAAAAAUAUUAACAUUUGGUUUUCUAUUUGAUUCAGUUAAAAAAUGUGUUCAAAUCGAACCGAAAUAGAAAAUCAAAUCGAAAAUCAUAUAAACCAAACCAAAUGGCCUCAUUCGGUUUGGCUCGGUUUGGGACCAAACCUUGUACACCCCUAUCGAUGAUCCCACCACUAUCUCUAACAUUUUUGGGGGAGAAAAUAUACUAUGGAGCAACUGCAUCACAUCAUCUAUAAUCAACCAAUCAUAUUUUUUUCUUUUAAAAACGUAAAAAAUAUUUUUUUAUAAAUCAUGAUGGGGCGAAUGAACUUCAGAGAAGCAAUUUGAUUGACUGGAAAUAUUAUAUCAAUAAUAUAACUUUUGCACUCUAGAUUUUUUUUUCAUCUUGAGCGGCUACAUCUGCAACAGAUCUACAAACUCUUUAGAAUCCAAUUUGUUUCUGCUUUUAUUCUAUUUGUGUUUCCUUGCUUCCCUCACUUGCGUACCUUGUGCAUAUCCCGACCACAAAUCUUGACCCUUUUUUGUACACGUGAGACUAGAUACUCGCAGCCUUUCAAGUCCAGCCCACCUAAAAAGCAUUCUAUUGGCUUCAAGAUAUAUUUACAUCUUCACUAUUUCAAUUUGGAAUUCUACAAUCUUAUGCGCACACCACCUCAUUCCCUAUCUGAAACAUUUUAUCGAAAAUAAUUUUACAAAUAAAUAUUGGUCAAAUGUAAAAAGAACAUGCCAAAUUCAGCAUCCAGCCAAUUUUGAAAGUUGUGUUGUUAGUCAGCAAAUACAACAAAUAAGAGUCGUUUGCAUAUAAGUAUUUCACCGAUGUUGUCACUGACAUCUUCUCGUUCUAAUUCACAAUAGUUUUCUUCUCGAUUAACAUAACGAUAAAAGAUAAAAUUCAAGUAUGACAAAAAAAAAUACUAAAUAUAUUAGUGAAAUGCAAUUUACUAAGCAGUAACUUCUUUCCUUUGUCUGAAGAGUUUCAAUCCAACCUCCUUUUUAAUUUUUAUAAAUCUCUCUAUUUUUUACGUCCGAGAGAACACUGUUCUAAUUUUUCUCUCUCACUUUGUACAACAAUAUAUUAGAAGUAGACAACAUUUGGAUCAACCGACUAUCCCUAACGCAAGUUGUUAUCUGAUAUUCCAAAUUUUGAAACUUACUUUUUUGAUAGUUUUAGCUAAAUUUAUUUUUUUAAAAAAAACAAACAAAAUAAAUAGUAUGCUACUAUUGUACAGAGAGCCAUACAUAGAGAGAUUCACCCAAUUAACUGGCUUAACAACAUAGAAAGCCCCUCUUAACGGGCCAAAAUUGUCCAUAAUUAACCAUACAACUCCUACAAUAUUUAAUUAGUUUUCCUCAUGUAAUAAAAAUACUUAAAUGUGUUGUAAUUUAAUUAAUAUUUUAUUACAACAUAUUAAUCUUGUGAAAAGUUUAAUUUGGUCUAAAAAUUAAUUAUUUCAUAAUUAACUAUAGUACUAAAAUAAUAAUUAAAUAUUAUAAUAUCAUGCCGAUGUUAUUAGUUCAACCUUGUUGAUCCUUGAGCUUACACUACUACAGAUACAAGAUUUAGUGGCGACAAAUGUCGCCACCAAUUAAAGGCCAAAUUGUCGCCACGAAAAACGUUUUGGCGCCGACAAUUGAUCGCCGCAUGCCGCCGCCUAAAGCCCCGUCGGUAAAACUAUUUGGUGGCGACAAAAUGUCGCCGCUAAAAGUUAGAUAAUAGCGACGACAUAGUGUCGCCGCGACAAAAUAGAGAAUUAGUGGCGACAUGGCGUCGCCGCAAAAAGUUAGCUAAUUACUGGCGACAUUCUGUCGCCGCGAAAUAUUUGGUGGCAACAAUUUAUCGCCGCGAAAAGUUAGAUAAUUAAUGGCGACAUUCUGUCGCCGCUAAAAGUUAGUUAAUUAGCGCCGGCCUAGUUAUAUGGUGGCGACUAUUGUCGCCACUAUUUUUCUGGUCUAAAAUUAUUUUUUNGCCACCAUUGUUUAUGUAUUGGCGGCGACAUUUACUUGUCGCCACCAUUGUUUACGUAUUGGCGGCGACAUUUAUUUGUCGCCACCAUUCUUUAUGUAUUGGCGGCGACAUUUACUUGUCGCCACCAUUGUUUACGUAUUGGCGGCGACAUUUAUUUGUCGCCACCAUUGUUUACGUAUUGGCGGCGACAUUUGUUUGUCGCCACCAUAUCUUCUACAUAGGUGGCGACAUUACUUGUCACCACAAAAAAGUCGCCACCAAAACACGUUCUUCUUGUAGUGGAAUUAGUAUCAUUCUUGUCAACUAGUGACUGACCCUUGAGCUAGUAUCAAUUUUGGAUUGCUGCCGGAUUUUAAAAUAUUGUAUAAUCUUUCACUCAAUAUUCGAUGUUGUUUGGAUGUUCGAGAAUAUCUUAUUUAGUAGAGAAAUAUUCAAAUCUGAGAGUGAGGAGUUAAUUUUUGCUCCUCAAAAAAAAAUUAUUAUUUAUAAAUAUUGUUGAAAGUCAAGCUUUUUUUUUUUUUUUCCUCACCUACUAAGCUGGAAUUUUUCUUUCUUUACUAAUUUUGUUUCCUUAUUAUUUUGUUUUCAUGUACAACUGUUAAUUUAGGACUUUAUAGCUAAAUCUUUCAUGAUUAUAAGAUGAUUGAUUCGAUUAAUUGAUCAAUUUUCUCAUCUUGCCAUGUAAGAGAGAUUCUGUUCCAGAAUUCUCUCACCUUUGUAAUCUAUUUAAAUCUUUUUUUUUUAAUAUUGAAUAAGAUGAAAAAUACACAGAAGAAUAACUGCAUGUGGUUCUUCAUUCUUCCUUCAAACUUCUUCAUGGUAUCAGAGCAGGUUUAAUCCUGUCCCGUCUGUCCUCAUCAUACCCAUGUUGCUAUUACCACUCACAAAUUAAAUGGACAAAAUUACCUACAAUGGUCUCAAUCCAUCUUAAUGAUCAUUCGGGGAAAGGAGAAAGAUGACUAUCUCACCGGCACUUCAGCAGCCCCAGAAACGGCGGCUCCAAGCUACAAGAAGUGGAUGGCAGAAAACAACAUGGUCAUGUCAUGGCUAGUCAACUCAAUGACGCCAGACAUUGGCGAGUAUUUUCUGUCUGUCGAAACUGCUAAGGAGAUCUGGGAUGCAGUUAAGGAGACUUUCUCAUACGCUAAGAACACUUCGGAGGUGGUAGAGAUUGAAGGGAUCCUUCACGAUCUACGACAAGGCGAUCUCACGCUAACUCAAUAUUUUAAUAUUCUCACUCACAAUUGGCGUCAACUUGAUACAUAUGAGGUUCAUAAGUGGUCAUGUACUACUGAUGCAUCAUUAUACAAAUAGAUUGUAGAGAAAAAACGUGUUUACAAGUUUUUGCUAGGUUUGAAUAAAAAUCUUGAUGAGGUCCUUGGGAGACUUAUGGAGUAAAGCCAUCACCAAGUCUCAGAGAAGCUUUCUCUGAAGUUCGAUGAGAAGAAAGCAGGAAAAUGAUCAUGAUGGGGCCAUCCCAACAUCUGAAUAUAGUUGAAAACUCUAUGCUUGUCACUCUGAAAACUCAAUUUGCCUCUUCAGAUAAUUGCCAGAAGAAUAAAGGAAGGCUUUGGUGUGAUUAUUGUAGGAAACCGGGGCAUUCUAGGGAUACCUGCUGGAAAUUACAUGGGGAAAUUACAUGGAAAACCGGCUACUUGGAAGCCUGCUCGUCAUUUCGAGAAAGAAGGUCGAGGAAAUCAUGUCAAUACCGAGGAGCAAUCAAAACCUGAAGCAAGCCUUUUUAAUAAGGAGCAAAUGGAGAUGCUUCAAAAGUUAAUAUCUAAUCGAUCUUCAGUCAACACCGUCACAAACCGAAUCAUCUUCCAAUCAUGUCAUUGGUUUCAGAACCUUGGCCCACAAAGGUAAUUUUUUGAGUGCCUUUACUAUGACUAAAAAAGAAAAAACUUGGAUUGUCGACUCAAGAGCAUCUUAUCACAUGACGGGAGAUGCAACGAUGUUCGAUACAUACAACCCAUGUCACAAUGACUUAAAAGUUCGGAUAGCAGAUGGCUGACUAUCCAAUGUUAUUGGUACAGGUUCCGUUGUGCUAUUAAAGGAUCUCACUCUCAACUCUAUUCUCUUUGUUCCUAAAUUGGAUUGUAACCUAUUGUCAAUUAGUAAACUCACUAAGGAAAAAAGUUGUGUUACUAAUUUUUCCUCCGCCCACUGUGAAUUUCAGGAUUUGGCUUCGGGGAAGACGAUUGGCAAUGCUGAGGAAUGCUCUGGACUCUACAUCCUUAAGAAGUCUCACUAUCCACAAGAACAACCUCAAAAGGCAGUUAGUGGUGGCUCUUUCUUUGUUUCUUGUCAAAAUAAAAAUAGUGCAAUCAUGUUAUGGCACUAUCGCUUAGGUCAUCCAAACUUUAUGUAUCUAAGGCAUUUAUUUCCAUCUUUAUUCAGUAAAAAUGCAAAAUUCUUUUAGUGUGAAAUCUGUCAAUUAUCAAAACAUGUUCGGUCUCAUUUUCCUCCUCAUCCCUACAAAGCCUCUAGUCCUUUCUCAAUGAUCCAUAGUGAUAUUUGGGGCCCUUCAAAAAUAAAAAAUAUAACAGGUGCAAGGUGGUUUGUAACACACUGAACUGUAGCAAAUUGUGAGGUUCGAGUGUUUAAUCUGUGUUCUGAGCUUUCCCAGGUUUUCUGGAGAGUCGUUGACUGUGUUCCGACCUAUGACACGCAUCCCGAGGAGCGGGGAUGAGAACUUAGCACCAAAAUCUCUAAAUUGUAGAUUUUGGGAUGCUCUCGGUUUGAGCUCUGCAGGGCAGAGUACCGGUACUACAUUACCCGAGUACCGGUACUGGACUUGGUACCGGUACGGCAUCGCGAGGGUACCGAUACCCUGUGUGUUUACUCGCUUGACGGAGGCUUGGGUUUGCCCGUGCUGCUGCCUGGUAUCGGUACUCCAGCCCGCGUACCGGUACGCAGUGCAGAUGCAAACUGCACAUUGUUGAGGGGUGUUUUUGGAAAUGUUACAACUCUAUAUAUCUCCUCCACAGCCCAUGAGAGCUCUUUUGAUCCCUAAACCGUGGAGAAGCAAGGUAGAGCGCCCCUCUCUUGAUUUUCUCUCUUUUCUUGAGGAUUUAGCUUAGUUGAUCUCCUCUCUUUGCUCCUUUUGCUUAAUGUUGGAUUUCCCACCAUUGGAGAAGCCUUGGAGUUAUGCUUGAAGCUAUUUGGAGGAAAGGUCUUCAACCCUAGCCCACUCCUAACUUGGUUUGAAGCUUUUUGAGAGGUUAGUAACCAUGAUCUCCCCUUUGGAUCACAUUUUAGGGGAUUUUUGUGAUGAAAACCUAGAAUGAGAAAUCUAGAGUUUUAUUUGGGAGUUUUUGAUUUGUAGCUUUUAGGGCUUAAUUGAUAGAUGUAGAACCUUCUUCUAGGGUGGAAUAGAAGUGCUCUAGCUCUCAUUUGGAUUUUGGGAGGGUUUUCUACCACCAAGGUGAGUUUUAGCCUCUUCUUUCGGUUCGAUAAAGAUUAGCUUAUGGGGUGUUCGUUCAUUGCCCCUAACCCUCUUAGAAUUUUUUCUAGGGAGCUAGGAGACUAGUGGACAUCCUCGUUCGCGCAAACGAAGGGGGUUCGAGGAGUUCUCGAUGGGUUUGACCUCACCGAAAUGGGUGAACUCCCCCUAUGUUAUCUUUUAAAUUUUAAAAAUGGCAAAUCAUGCAUAUUCAUACUAGAUAGAGCAUAAUGAAAUUUUAGAAUGCUUAAAAUGCAUAUGUUAUGUAUCAUGUUGUAUGACCCCUAUGUAGUAGGAAGAAAAUUGCAUAGUAAAUUGCAUGUGAAAUGGUAUUCUUAUGAUGUGUUGGAAAUCAUGUUAUACUUAGUGAUAUGACAAGCUUUUAUUUGCUUAUGAACAUUGGACAUGUACUAAACAUAUGAAAUAUAUAUACUGUCAUAAAGUGGCAUUGGAUUUGGAACAUGUAUUAACUUAGUAAAAUAUAAUGUCAUAAAGUGAUAUUAGACUUAGUAAACGGUUAAACCUUUUUAUUGUGACAUAGAAUUAUACCUUUCGGUUGCUAGUGUUUAUACCAUGUUGGAGACAUGAUGACCGUGUACUUGAGAUGAUGAUCAUACUUUCUUGCCAUUUGUGCUCAUUCGCACAUGCUUGUGAGGGUCGCUCCCCACAAACCGGCACUCCGGAGUUGGCCUACGCGACAUAUGCUCGCCGUGCGGGAUUGGGCGCCGAAGUGGAUUGCCGUGGGGGAGGCUCAUUCCUAGAGUGGGGAUGCUGGAGCUACCACUGGCACUUAGGCGACACAAGCCGGACUACACUUGUGUAGGUCCUAGAUUGGAAUUGAAAAAUGACAUGUAAACAACUAUAUGACAAUUACUACUUAAUAGUAGGUAUUGGUUGGACAUAAUAGUACACUUGUUGGAUUUAGUAGUAUACUUGUUGAUCACAUUUGGUGCAUAUUCGUAUACAUGUGGACAUGUUUAGAGUAUACUAGUAUACUCAUUAGAUAUACUCGAUCAUGAUGGAUUAGUAGUAGUACAUGUUUAACAUCAUGCUAAAAUGAGGCAUAGUAGCUUAGCAAAAUAAUAUUGUCAAAUAUACUUGUUGUUUACUUCCAUUAAACGUUAAUUUACACUACUCUUGCCUCUAUAGACUAGUGGUGUAUUUCGCUGAUGUCGGCAGCUUACCCACUGGGAACUAUUAAUUAAUAGUUCUUACACCCCCUGUUUUGUUGUUUUUGUUUACAGAGCCAUCCACUCCGGCAGAGGCUAGGGACCGUGGCAAGGGUGUCGCCACUAGCUAGUUAGCGAGGAGCCUUGCUAUUAGGUGGUCUAUCUCUUUUUUGUUUUAGUUUGAGAGAGAGAGUUUUGUACCUAUGUAUAGAGACCACCAUUUUUGUACCUAUUACCUCGUAUUUGGGAUAUUGUGUUGUAUCUACUUUUGGAUUAUAUUACUUGUUUAGUUCCUUUAUAUUCUACUGGUCAUUAGAAUUUAGCUAUAAUCAUGCUCUGAUAUCUCUAGAUACUUGUUUAUCUCUGUUUUGUUUAUCGCUUUGUUGUAUACGCCUUAUAUGUUGUAGGCAUAUGACGGGUCUGGACACGCACCGGGCGGGCUUCCGCUGGGUCCCGGGGCGUGACAUGAUUUGUCUCAUUCAUAGAUGAUCACACUAGAUUAACUUGGGUGUUCCUCAUGAAAGAAAAAUCUGAAACAGGUCAAUUAUUCAAAAGUUAUAAAAAUAUGAUUCAGACCCAAUUCCAAAAUACAAAUCCUAAGGUCUGAUAAUGCUAGGGACUAUUUCAACUCCAUUCUAGGAGAAUUUCUUGCAAAAGAAGGAAUAGUUCACUUAAGUUCAUGUGUAGAUACUCCGCAACAAAAUGGAAUCGCUGAAAGAAAAAAUAGACACUUGCUAGAGGUAGCUAGAUCACUUAUGGUUUCAAAAAAUGUUCCAAAAAUAUUCUGGGGAGAAGCUGUACUUACAGCAACUUACCUUAUCAAUAGAAUGCCAUCUAGAGUACUAAAUUUCAGCACACCUUGUUAAACCCUCCUGAAGUCCUUUCCAAAUACUCAACUUAUUUCCACCAUUCCACCCAAAAUUUUUGGGUGCUCUGUUUUUGUUCAUCUCCAUCAGCAACAUAGAAGUAAACUUGACCCCAGGUCACUCAAGUGCAUUUUUCUUGGGUAUUCUUCAAAUCAAAAGGGGUACAAGUGUUAUUCUCUUGUCACAAAAAAAUUCUACACUUCUAUGGAUGUUGCUUUCUUUGAAAAUCAGCCUUACUAUCAAAAAACUGAUAUUCAGGGGGAGAAUUCAUGUCAAGAAUAUCAGUUUUUGGACUUUGAGUCUUUCAUUGAGCCAUCCAUCACCACAAAAAAUCACAUUCCUCUAGAUUCUCCGAGUCAACACUUAUCUGCCGACAAUACCGAGUUCAUUGUUGACAUGUAGGAUAGAGAGCCCAUUCAAGAGGAAAUGGAGAAAGGAGCACUUCCCCAACAAGUCCAUGAAGUUGAACCGAGUCCUAAUUCGAGUGAAAAUACUGGUAACAAUAUCUCUAAUUCAGAUGAUACUAUUGAUUUUGAGUUAGAAAAUGAUAUAUUGAAUAUGCCAAUAGCUUGGAGAAAGGGAGUUAGAUCUUGCACUCAGCAUCCUAUUGGAAAUUUUAUUUCCUAUGAUAAACUAUCACCAUCUUUUCGUGCCUUUACUUCUAACAUCACAAUGAUACUGGUUCCUCAUAACAUUCAGGAAGCUUUCAAGUGCCUUAAGUGGAAAGCUGCAAUCGAUGAGGAAGUCCGGGCUCUGGAAAAGAAUGGCACUUGGGAAAUUACUUGUAAUACACUGGAUCUUAGCAAAUUGCAAGAUUCGAGUGUUUGAUCUGUGUGUGGAGCCUUUCCACAGUUUUUGGAGGGUCGUUGAUAGUGUUCCGACCCCUGGCACGCACCCCGAGGGUGUUGGUUUGAGUUUUGGCACCAAGAUCCCAAAAUUGGAAUUUUUGGUCAGCCCUCGGNAAGUAGGAAGAGAAUAAGAAGAAGAGGAUGAGUAAGAGAGGGAAAAGGAUAUUAAAGAGAGAGAAAAGGAGAUUCACAAUCCGCUGUGCACUAGAGGCCAAAAUUCUCAUUCAAGGGUAGUUGAAGAGAGGUACAAUACCCCCUUGUCCUUAAUUAAGCCUACUAACAUGUUCGACCAACAUAUAAUUCCCAUUUCGGUUCUGUCUGUGACAUCAAUUUUGCGUCAAAAUAGUUCAAACUUGUCCUGACACUCAUUAGUAAAGUUGACGAGUCAUCGAAACUGUAAUUGCUCCAAUGGUUAACUUUUCAGAACACUACAGGAUAUCAAUUUACAUUAGCUAAUCUAACUUGUAUUGGGACCCAUAUCCAUAUUUAUGUAGCAUCCAGAAACACAUGAAAUAUUCUAUCUGAAUCUGUAUCCACAUCACAAACAUGGAUAAUUUUUCAAGUAUAAUACACUAGAUAUGCUCACAUUACUUCUCAAAAGCUCUUAAUUAGUUCAUGCCAUAUAUUUUCCAGCUAUACCUAAUAACCUUUUAUGUAUAUCUGAAAACAAAUAGAACAUCCGUAUUUG
This 81851-nucleotide long non-coding RNA is filed under the name Ananas comosus (pineapple). Its description in RNAcentral is "long non-coding RNA (ACOM_LNC026065)". Lineage: Eukaryota; Viridiplantae; Streptophyta; Magnoliopsida; Poales; Bromeliaceae. The record is from RNAcentral.